This 76418-nucleotide long non-coding RNA is filed under the name Cucumis sativus (cucumber). RNAcentral's name for it is "long non-coding RNA (CSAT_LNC000426)". The record is from RNAcentral. Lineage: Eukaryota; Viridiplantae; Streptophyta; Magnoliopsida; Cucurbitales; Cucurbitaceae.
AAAAAAAAAAAAAACUUUUAAACUUGCAUAUACUAAACUCUAACUAAAUUUUGUUUUUAUUUGUUGGUUUUAAAAUAUAAGAUUAAAGGGUGUUGUAGUACAAACAUUUUGACAAAGUGGUUUUGUAAUUAGAAUUAGAGAUAAUGAUUUCUUUGUGAUGGAAACAAUUUUGUUUCUAGUAAAUUAUCUUUAUAGAAUCUUGGCUUCUGUUUUAAGUUUGGAGUUUUAUGUUUUGUAGAUUUGUUGUUUUCUUUUUAACUUUUUUUUUAUUUCUUUUUCACCUUUCUCUAUGUUAGUAGUGAAAAGUUUCCCACUCAUUAAACUCAAACAUUGCCUUUUAUUUUGGAUAAGGUGAGAAGGAUUCGAUUCAUAUAUAUAUAAGUUAUUAAAAAUGAGGAGGGUGGCAUCCGUUUUAGGGUAUUAUUAGUUGGUUUGAGCCUAUAUGUUCUUAGGAUGGAAUGAGUAUUUUCCAGUGGGAGUUAGGGAUGGGAAAAUUAGAACAAUAAUGUUGGGUUUUUAAUAAUUUAAUUAAGUCGGAGUGUGAAAGUAAAUGGAAAGAUGGGUAAUUGGGUAAUUGGGAAUAUGGAGUGAAAAAGAUUGUAAGGGUGAAAUGUAGAAUUUAAAAUAGAAAAAGUGAAACAAUGCCACGUGUAGAAGAGGUCCCUCAGAAUUUGGAGGAUUGCUCCAAUAAUGUUGGUGGUGGGAGUCAGCGUACGGUGAUGAUUAAAUUAAAAUAUAGGGACCACUAAAAGACAAACACACCCCUUCCAAAACACACACGGACCACAUGCAUUCAUCUAACUAAACACUCCAUAUUCAUUUUCUUUAUGUUCUAUAUACAUAUGUAUAUCCUAUUCUUUUUCCAAACAUUAUUACCAAUUCAAACUCAUCUAUCGUAAAAAUAUAUAUAUAUAUAUAUAUAUAUAUCCUAUUCCUUUUGUAUGAGAAGAUCUUUUUGUGAUUCUUCAACCUUAUCCCAUAUAUAUAUAUGUAAAUAUAUGUAGCAAUAAUCUGCUAACUCUGUUACUCUGUGUGUUUCAGAACUCCUGUCCCUGCACUGUGUACACUUUAUGGCCACAUUCAUUUUAGCUUCUCUACAAUAUUAUAUAAUUCUACAACAAAACAAUGCUCUAAAAUUUCAUCAUUAUUUUUUGUGUUUUGUGUUCCUCAAUCUGUCCUUUCCGGUCACAAUCUUGUUUGGUUCUGUAUGUAAUAUGAGGGACACCUCACAAUUCCAAACUGUGCUAAUCAACCCUCAAUUACUCGUUUCAAGUCCGAGAUCACAUUGUCAUAUUGCUUCAUGCAUGACAGAGGUAUCUUAAUUAGACUUGAUGGAUCAAUAUAUAUAUAUGUACUCAUGCUAGUUCUUCAACCAUAUGUCUUUUAUCAUGGGAUUAAAUGGUUUAGUUAUAAUAGAUAAUUUAACAUUAGGGUAUAUAAUUUUGAGUUAAAAAGAAACCAUUCGACUUAAUGAAUGAGAGAAUAGCAUAAGAUAAGUGAACAGAGAGUACGUUUCCCUUUCAAAUUUUCUUAUCAGUAUAAGACUCUUCUUUUCUUACAAUUAUGAGAAGGCUAUGAAUCAUCCUUUUAUGUACUACAUAUAUGUGGACAUAAACCAUCGGAAUGUCCACAACUGAAAUCCCAAGCCCUUCUACAACUCUUCUAGAAAGUUCUACCACCUUGGUAACAAUUGUUGCACUUCAAUGGAGCUAAUUAAAUAGUAGAAAAACCUGCAAAACAAAAUUAUGUUGACAAAAUGGCUGACUCGCGAAUCUCCACUAUUACAAAACUUAAUUUACUUGACGUUUAAGAAUUGUCAAGUAUCUAUUUACUUGACACUUUUCAAUGCGUCAAGUAAUCUAAUGUCAAGAAUAAGGGAGCUUUAUUUGAUAGUUUUUAAGCGUAAAGUACAAUUUUGGCUUGGUUUUAUUAAACUUGAUUUUAUUUUUAGGUUAGUGUUAAUUGUGCACCACACAAACCAGCAUACCCAUAAUUUAAAAUUUUAGAUCCAUAAUCUUUUCAAAUGGUGUGAGACAAUAUAUGGUUGAAAAAUAGUGCAACUGAUCACUCAAAAUUUUGAUGCAUGUAAAUAUGUGAUGCAAAUUUGGCUUACACUUUUAAUAACAUUAAAUUUAGAUAUGAAGUUGAACUUGUACCCAAUAUAUAUGUCUUUUGAUGGUAAUAGAAUUACAUCUAUCUAACUUUAAACGAGAUAAAUGUUUGCUGAUUAUUAAUUGACUACGCUAAUUAUGUAUUUUCAUUUGUCUUUGCAUCUUAUAACCUUUAACUUUACAUAAAAGAAUUAUACUUCUUAUUAAUUGAAUUUACUAUCUAUGGUUAACACUAGUCGAUAAAAUACAAAAAAAAAAGUAGUCAAAUCUAAAGGAUUUUUGUUCAACAUUUUUGGUAUACGAUCAUUUAAAAUUUGGUAGUCAAAUCUGAACAAUUUUUUUCAUGAUUUUUUGGUAUGAUAGUUUAUAUUUGGCUACUUUUUGUACACAAUAAUGGUUUAGAUUUGCUCGUUUAAAUUUGCUAAAUCUGAACAAUUUUUUUAAGAUUAUUUGUAUAUGAUCAUUUAGAUUUAGCUAUCCAAUAUUCCAACAUUUUUUUUUCGAACAACCAAACAACAUUUUGUUUGAAAAAAAAUAGAUCUUUUAUAUUUGAUACACGAUCUUGAACCAAAUAACAAUUUUAAAAAAUAAAAGAAAAGAAAAAUUAAGAAGAAGAAGAGAAAAAGAAAAUUCCAUAAAAGAAAGAAGAUGAAAAUGAAUGACAAAUUUAUAAUAUUUAGAAAAAAAAUAACCGAUUUCAUGGCUUUUUUAUUUUAUUGCACGAGCCAUAGAUAUUUUGGUAUUUUGUUAUAUUUAUGAAAAUUAACCAAAAAAACUUCAUUUAUCUAAAUUUAGAUUAAAAAUAAUGUAUUUGAUAGUGGCCUAUAUAGAUUAAACAUAAUUGUAUAUAUAAAAAUAAAAUACAAAGGCAACCCAAUUGAUAGAUUGACAAAUUUUAAGGCAUAAAAUUAACAUGGAGCAAAAUUUAGACCAUCAAAACAUUUUACUAUUCACAUGUAACACUUUAGAAAUAAUAAUUAAGUAUAUAAUAAUAUUUUUAAAAAAGUUUAUAAAUUUAGCAAAGUUGAUUAAUAAAGACUUUUAUCAUUAAUAGAUAAUGAUCACCAAACCUACAUCAUUGCAGUAGGAGAAGAAGGAGGUUAAAUGGGAGAUCACUAGUGAAGAAAACACGAGAAUAGUCACACAAGUAGUUAAGUAAUUGUUAUUGUGUUAUGGGUUGUUAUUUUGUUACUAGUUGUUAUGCUGUUAUUCUGUUAGGAUCUGCUACUAGUUGUUAUGUUGUUAGGAUCUGUUACUAGUUAAUGGGUAAUUAGUUGGUAAAUAUAUUAGUAUAAAUAAGAAAAGACUAGAAGAUAAGAGGGCAGAAAGUGAAUUAGAGAUAUUUUUGCAAUUCCUUGAGAGGUAGGAAGGUAGAUUAGAGAGAUUUUCAAAUUGAGAUCUCCUCAAUUUCUCUGUAUUAAUUCCUGAAUCUGAAGCAAUAAAAGAGAUUCGUUACAUGAAUCAACUUGGUGUUCUAUAAUAAAUUUUAUCAUAUUUACUAUUUUUUAAAAAAUGUUAUUAUUUGAUAAUAUUUUCAAUCAAAUUAUUAUAUUUCUAUUUUUCACUAACAAAAUGUGAGUAAAGUGAACCUAAGGCCAAAUUGGAUAGACUUAGCCCAAGUCGUAUGGGCCUCUAGUAUUUAAUUGGGUCAAACUUAGGUCAGCCCAACCUUUUUAAACAUAAACUCAUAGCUGAAUAUUUAUCAACUAGAUAAAUAACUAAAUAAAUACUUGAAAAAUUGUAAUAGAUGACUAUUUUAGCAAUAAUAAUUAAGGAUAUAUCAACAUUUUAUAAAAACUACAAAUAUAACAAAACUAUCACUGAUGGACUUGUAUCAUUGAUAUACUUCAUAUGAUAUAUCAGUGAUAGACCAAUAUUUGUAACAUGGUCUAUCAGUGAUAGAUUUAUAUCAUUGAUAGAUUUUGACAAAUUUUGCUAUAUUUGCAAUUUUUUUAAAAUUGUGUUAUAUACUUAAUUAAUUUGAAUUUAAUUGUCAAAUUUGCAACUAUCCCUAAAUACUUUAGGUUGGAUAAAUAGCAAAAUAAAUAGAUAGUUAUAUAAAAAAAAUUAAAUUAAUUAAAUAUGAAUAGACAAAAAUAAUCCACUUAAAAUAAAAACCCAAUAUUCAAAUAAAGUUCCACGAAAAUUUAAAACCCACUCAAAUACAUUAUAAUAAAGUGAUUAUUGUAUCCAUCAAACCUCAAAUCAACCAUAAUUGAUAGAUUAGAAACUUAAUACACAACUCGAGAUUCUCUCUCUUCGUGCGUGAACUGAGAACCACCGAGAAGAAACCAUCACUCUUCUUUUUUCUCUUUAAACUACGAUAGAAAGUAUUUAUUACGACCGUUAUAUAUAUACAUUCCAAAUUUGAAGGGAGGAAAAAAAAUGUCACAAAAGGUAAAAAUCUGUGUUUUUGGCCGAAAAAGAUGGAAUUUUUUAAUUUUCACUUUUCGCGACAAUUAUUUGUUGUCAUUAAAAAUACAAAAAAUAAUUUAUUUAAUUUAUUAAAAUAAAAUUCAUUUUUAAAUGAGAAUUUAUUAAAAUCAUAUUUUUCUCCAAUUUUAAAACCCUCACGGCUCACGCAAAUGAAUUUACCAAACCCUUACGUGAUUCUGACCAUCUUCGACCAUCAAUUUAUGUUUGUCACUGCCACUGCCCCCUCGUGCCCGUCUCUUCACUCCAAAGCCGCCUCAACCUCUUCACGAGCCAUCUUUUCUCAUAUAUUUUUUUACUAAUGUCUACGAGCUCGUUCAAGCAAGCUAAGAGCAUGAGUUUGGUAUAUUCUUGAGCUUUCUAUGGAAUUUUGUAUUUUUAUCAUCUCUUUUUAAAAUCAAAAUCAUAUUUGUUUUGUUCUUUUUUUUUAAAAAAAAAAAAGACAUGUUGAGAUAUCCCGAUUAGAGAAAAAUACCCAAACAUAAUUUCAGUAAGAUUUAUGACUUUUCUUGUUUGUUCUUCUAUAUUCAAUUUUGAUUUUCUUCAUUUUUGUUUACUGUAUUUAGGAUUGAUUGACCUUAACUGCAUAAUCUUUUAGUAUGCAUGAUUGUAUUCUUGAGCGAUUAUGUGUCAUGUUGUUGAUGACUUCAUAAACGAUGAUGACAAACAAUUAUAUGUUCAAAGCGGAUAAAGCAAUGGCGAAUAAUAAUAAUGCUGAAUCACUUAUUAAUAUAUAUUUUGUUUUUAUAUAUUCAUAUCAAGUACUGUCAUAUGUUUAAUUAAUUUUAGUUUAUAUGUCCUCAGGUACUACCAUGUCUAAUUCCCAUGUCGGUUUCGAUGAGAGUGAUUGUUUUUUUUUUUUAUUUUAACGUUGAAUAGUUUAAUAAUGUAGGAGGCAUGUCUUAGUGGGUGACACAUUAGGUUAGUCAAAGUUACAUAAACAAUUAACUGCAUAAGCCUAAAGUUUUGUUUAGGAAAUUAUUUUGUUUUCAUAUAUAGCUCUCAACUUACUGCUCGCACUCCUAGAAGACAGGAGCACUAGAGGAACCUGGAGUUGGAACAAUAUGUUGCACAACAUGUAGAGAUCCUCAUAUUGACCGUUCUAGGAUAGGAUAAGUCGAUCUCAACAUACGCUAUUCGCUUCAGCUGUGCCAUCGAUGUGGUAAAGCAGUACACUUUUUCAAGUCGCUUUCUUAAGUGGACUGACGUUACACCUGAAUACAUUGACCUCAUGAAGGGCGCUUUACGGGUAAGCUACCUACCUAUAUAUUUAGAAUCCUAACCUGUACAUAUAUGUUACCUAUGUAUAUAUAUAUAUAAUUCAAAUUUGUGUGUAAUUUUCUUUUGUAGCAAUGGUUCAUGUUGGAUUUCACAGAUCCAAAACUUACUCGGUUCGUUGAGCAUCAAAUACUUACCAUCUGGAAGGAGUUUAGGGGACAAAACCACCACCAUUUAAAGAAGUUUAGUGAUUCUGAACAGGCACGUGCUAACCCACCCCCAGAUUGAAGAAUAGUGUGGAAGAUUUGCACUUUUUAUGUGACCACUACCUUACUUGACAAUUUAAGGUGAUUUAGAACUUUUUUUAAUAUUCUCAAACGAUAGUUCUUUUUUUUUUUUUUAUGUAAUAUUUUGAUUAUUUACAUGUAGGAGCUAUCAAUGAUGAACAUGGUUGCUAAAGCGAAGUAGUCCUACAACCACAGUAGUAGUGCUAAGUCAUUUCUACAACAAGCAUGACCUCAUUGAACAACGGGUCAUCUAGUCUACCAUGUGGAGUAGCUCAAGGAAACACACGCUCGAGGUGGCCAGUUCAUUUCAUCAGCGGUUACCGAUGCUCAUGUAAGUUUUUGUAAUGCUUUUGUCUUAUUUUGUACAUACAUUUAAUUUACACGUUUUACUUCAUUAAUGAAAAUUUUAUUCUAGGGUCAGAUGUUGGAACUCCAGUCUUAUUCCACCCUAGAGGUUUCUCAACCACUUGUUGGGAAUGAGAUAUCUGUGAUAGUCUUAGGUAGACGAUCGGACUACUCAAAAGGUUUUAGUUGGGGUCCCAGGCCAAAGUCCCAACACGCUGCUAGUAGUUCUUCGUCUACAUUCCACGAGCGAGAGAUGCACGUUAGGGAGGUUAUCAAGCUAAAAGCUCAUCUUCAGGAAGUAGAAGAAGAAAGUAACCAGAGGCAUGAAGAAAGUGCUCGACAGAUCGAAGAAAUGAAGAAGAUGAUUGAAGAACUCACUCGGGCUACAAGAUCAGGACCUUGAUUUCUUCAUUGAUGUACGUAAUUUUCAACUUUUACAUUCUUUAAUUUCUAAUUUGGGUGAUAUAUAUUAAUUAAACUUAAUUUUGUGUCAUUGUAGGUUCAAAGGCAUGGGAGGACUGCAUCUGCACUACUUAGAUUAUGUUUUUAGUUAUUUUGUUUUAAGUUUAGGUUAUUCAUGUACUUUUUCGAACUACAAGCAUGUACUUUUUUGUAUAUUUGAAUUAAUUUUAAUAUAAAUUAGAUUUGAUAUUUUAUUAAUUUUGUGUUACAUGUUUUCCUCUUUUAGAAUUUGAAACAAUUUAAAUCGAAUUUGAUCCCAAUAGCAACAAAAACAAUUAAAUAAUAAAAAAAUAAUCACGACGCACUAGAUGCAUCGAGAAUAGACGCAACGACGCGGUAUCGUUCCACGCUAUGUCGACGUUGCGUCGAUCGUCCAUUUAAGUCGACGUACACGACGACGUCGUCAAUACCAUAUUGUUGACAUGUUGACCAAACGUCGACAAAACACUAUUGUCGUCUUCCUAACCUGAUGUCGGCAUUAGCUUAUUGUCAACGUGUUGAUCUAGUCGGUGAAUUAUGCGUUGGUCAAAACCAUAUGUCAACACUGUCUCAUUUGAGUGUCGACAUUUGCUCUUACGACACGACACUCACAACACGUGCACCGACAUGCAUUUCUGCAUCAACGUAGACACUGUGAACAUAUCUUUUAUUUUUAACAGCGCCUACUGAGCCAACAAACUUGGGCUACUCUCACUUAUGCAAAUCUAAAGCUAAUCUCGAAUAACUAGGAGUUCAUAGUUAGCUUCAGAUUUAGCUUCAGAUUAAGAUCGAGUUACCUAGGUCAUCAAACUUGAAAUAGUCAAUAAACAAUAAAUAUGGCAUUAUAAAGUAAAAGUCAUUAUGUCGUGGUCUGGUCUUAUACAAACUCAUUGUAGGAUGCUUCCGCUCCCUCUCUACAUAAACGAUUUAAGAUCACAUCGUUUUGUAUCAAAUACAUAGUAGGUUGCAUCCAAGUUGUCUGCAAAAUAAGAUGACCAACAUUAUUUCUAUACUAUGGAUCAUUUAGGCUAUUUUACUCAAACUUGGUCUACUUUUACGUUAAUACAUAAAGUUCAAGUGUUCAUAUUAUAAUUAUGGGAUCUCAGUUUAUUGGAUUCAAGGUUAUAAUGACCAAAUUACUUAUUCAACAACUUUAUUAAAUAAUAUCUCUAUAACUACUUUAUUUUGCAAAAUAUACAAUGUUCCACGUUUACAAACCACACGAGUUUUUAGUACAUAAAAUCCAACAAUAUUUUCAAAAAUAGAUUCAUAUCCAUUAUAAUAAUUUAUGAAAAGGUUAUAUUGGAAUGAGUUGGUCAACUGUUAACCUUAAGUUGAUCUUUGAUCGAGAUUGGAGUGAGCUCGGAUCAGCCUUUGAGUUUUGGAUCCAAAUAUGAGAUGGAAGUGGUAUAAUAAACUUUUAUGCUCGAAAUCAAUGUAGUACAAUUACGAACUUUAUCUUAGUUGAGCUAUGUUUGUGUUUGAUAAGAUUUUACUUUAAAAAUUGAGUGUAAGUACAUACAAUCCUUUAGAAACAAAAUGUGUAGUGUUUCAAUUAACCUACUUUAUAUACAGAGAGAAAGAAACCAUGCGGUUGAUGAAUUUGUGCUACAUUCAUUCAUAUAUGUGUGAUGAACCCUUAGAAUCAACCACAAACCUAUAUGAUAAGACAAGUGAAUUCAUAUACCAAACAUAAACUCACCUUCUCAAAAUACAUUAUAUUCUUAUCUAAACCAACUAUUAUGUGUGUGCCAAAUACAUGGUAAAGAGUUUACACGACCACAUCUUCGACACGGUCGAGGUUCGCCUUUAUCCAAUCUCUUCUCUAGUUUUGUUUAUGCAUUUUAAGGCAAUUGUUUAGGUUUAAGUGAGGAUCUUGUAGCAAGAGACGGUCUCAUUUGGACAAUUUGGUCUUCACUAACUCCCAUUCUCUUAGCUAAACGCCCUGCCUCAAAGAAUCUCCUUACAGCCUCUCUCAUAUACUGCCUACCUUCUUUCACAUUCAUAUCCUUUCCAAUGGCUUCAGGGUAACUAGUGAAGAUAUUGUCUCCUUUCAUAACUGCAGCCAACUGCAUUAGCUCCUGCUGAAACUCGGUAAGAUUCGCCUUUUCAUUUGCCGGGGUCUCCCUGAUCUUCACCGGUGUUGGGAGUUGUUCUAUAUUGAAAUUGGGUAAACAGAAAUGUAAGUUCAAACUGAUAUAGUUUUCUUGGAUUUGAUCUGUGGUAAUUAAUAUGGUUAAGGAUGUGUUCUGAACUCACCGGGGCAGUCGGUUCUCGGCUCUGUGCGGGUUUGCACAAUGAAUUCGAAGGAUCCGGCCCACUCGUCCCUCUUGGUGAGGAAGGGAGAAGAGAGGUUGAAGAGCUUCUUGACAGUGGCAGGAAUGGAGGAGUGUUCAAACUCGGAGGUUUGGAAAGGUGAUCCUUUAGGGCUAUGGACAACUGCAUCACCAUCACAAACAUUUUGUUAAUUCUUCUCAAAUGAAACUACCAAGUCUUUAGAGCUUUUUCCAUAAUAAUUCGAUAUACAGAAAUAUCUAUUAUCAGUAAACUUAUGAUCUUGCCAUAUUUUCUCCCUUUUACACACGCAUCAAAUUUCAAAAUAGAUUUUAGAUCUUGGUAUGAAGUGGGAAGUAAACAAAAAUAAUGAUAACAAUAACGUUUAAAUAUUAAUAACUUAAGUUCUCUUCCUAAUUAUACUUUUGUUUUAUGUUUUUAGUUUUUGAAAAAUAUGCAUGUUUUCUUACAGUUUAUUACCGUGUGAUUUGUAUCGAUAUUAAGUAAAAAAUUACCUUCUUAACUUGGUUUUUGAAAACAUGGGUAAAAUGUAGAUAUCUAAGGAAGGAACAUUUUGACUUGGUUUAUUUGAUAAGAACAUUAUACCACCAUAUAUAUAUAUACAAUGUUUUAAAAACAUAGUUUUCAAAAAUUCUAAAAGCAUAGUUUUCAAAUUUUGACUUGGAAUCAUGGGUAAAAUGUAGAUAUCAAACCAAAAGAUUUAAGUUUAAUUUUAAAAAACUAAAUUGUUAACCAACAAAACUUUAGUUUUCAGUUUGGUCACACUCUUUUUAUUGAUUUUAUUGGUCUAACUUCAUAAGUCUAUCUCUAAGCCAUAUUUUUAAGUAGUCAUAUUCCUAUUUUCUUACAUAAAAAAUUAACAACUUUUAAAGAAAAUAAAUGGCCACAUGCACCUUUUAGUUUGGAUGCAGACCAGCACUGUAAAUUUUCCAUUAGCUCCUUUCAGUUUUAUUUGAUAAGAACAUUGUACCACUACACACAUAUAUAUAUACACACACAAUGAUGGGAUACUAUCCACUUAAUUAAACGUACAUUUUUGUUGCUUUGUUUUUUGUUUCACUCAAAAAAUAUCAUAAUAGUAGACAAUUGUCCUCACUUAUUUAUAUGUAUACAUACUAUGGUGUAUCUCUUUUAUAUAUCUCUAACCAAACAUGGGAUUUUAUUAGCACUUCAAACAAUUAAAAGUUUUCAAAUAUAAUGUAACCAAAAAAAUGCUUUUCUUAUAAUAACAAAAUUAAGAAUAAGUUGAAACAAUAAUGGUGAUCAAGUUAUUCAUUUAAAUAAAGUUGCUUUUGUAUUUUUUUUAAACUCUUGAAAACAGGUCAAACCAAACCAUCAUAAAUUCAAUCCAAAACAUAUAGUUAGGAAGUAAGACUGGAUAACUGUUUUGAGCAAGAAAAGCAACAAAAAGAGAAGUUGGAAAAACAAAUGGGCAUUGUACUUAGUCCCUUUCUAAAAAAUAAAAUCUGCUACCUUUUUAUUGCAAGUUGUUAUUGGUUACAGAAAAAGCAGUGGGAAAACUAGAAACUAUAUGAUUUGAUUUUUGAAAGUCUACAUCUCAAUCUUCUUUUUUAUUAUGUAGAGCCAUGGCUCACUCCCAUAUUCUCACAAAAAGCCAAAUCUUAGCUGUGAUGCAAUUUUCCUUCCUACUAUACAUAAAAUCAAAAUAACUAAUGUAUUUUCUACCCUACAAGUUUUUAUUACCUUUUAGGAUAAUACAUUAAAUUGUGUGUUCUCUGUAUUUGUUUCAUUGUUUGUGUAUUUUCUAUUGGUUUAAUAUAUAAUUUUCUUGAGUUUUUUUUCUUUUCUUUUCUUUUCUUUUUUUUAUUGUAUAUUUAGAAUGUUCUGUAAAUUUAGAUUUUACUACAAUUGUUUGUUUAUUUAUUGGUUUAAUAUAUAAUUUCCCUUUUUUCUAUUAUAUAUCUAGAAUAUUCAGUUCGGUGAAAAUAUAUAUAUACACACAUGUGUACAUAUAUGAGUUUGCCAGCAAAAGUAUAGGUUUUUGUUUUUUUUAAUUUGUGUAUCCUUUUACUUCCUACCAUUUUCCAUAUUAAGCUCAUAUACUUAAUUACUUCUAAAUAUUUAAUUAAAGUAUUUAUACAUAUACCAAAACCAAAGUUAAAUUUUAUUUUAUUUGUAAAUAUAUUUACUAAUUUUGUUAUUUAAAGCAAUUUCCUCCAACAAAAUUGAUUUUAUUAUUUAAAAUUAAUUUUAAAAACUAUUUUAAAAUUAAAAUAGAUAAAUUUUUAAUUUUUAAAAUUUAUCAAAAGUACCAAAACUCAAAAGAAUUAUAGAAAAUUGGUAGUGUGUAAUCAUUUUUUAAAUAUUAUUUAUUAUUAUUUCUAAAAAAAAUAAUUAUAGUAGAAUUUUUAAAAAUAAUACAUCUUACCAAAUAUUUACAACCUAUAACAAAUUCUAUUGUUGAUAACCAUUGAUAAUUCUAUUGUUGAUAAUCAUUGAUAUGGUGUAAUGAUAGAAGUCAUCAAUGAUAAAAAAUCCAAACUAUCACUCUAAAAUUUUGUUUAAUUUAUUUUUCUAUUUUAAAAAAUAUUCUAGAAUGUAAUAAAAUAUUUUUUAGAAAAAACUAAGAGGUGUACAAGUAAAAAGAAUUAGCAUAGAAUGAACGAUGUAUCACCUUUUAAAUAUUUGUUUAAUCGUUAUUAAUGUGUUAAUAAGACAUAUAACCAAAUUUUCACUCCCAAUGUUCAACUAGAAAAUCAAUAAUAACAUUAAAGAAAGUACUUUAAUCCCAAGGGAAAAUUCAAAUCCAUUAGAAAACAAAAUGACAAGCAAAAUAAAUAUUCGAAAAUAAACAAAGCAUAUGAGAGCUAUGAUAAUUAAAUAAAUAAAUAAACAAGAAAUUUAACCAAAAACAUAAUUUAAAUUCCAAAAAUAUUAUAAAACAGAAAUUAUAAAUAAUAAACAAAAAAUGACAAAAAGAACAAAUAAAGAAGAGGAAGAAGAUAAAAGAAUACAUACCAGUGCCCUUCUCUAUCCACGGUGAGAUCAUGAUGGUCGGAACUCGAACUCCGAGCCGAUUAAAUCCAAACAAAAACGGCUCCGGUCCGACGAUUCCGUCGGGACUAGGUACACCGGUGACAGGCGUUGGAACGUGAUCGAAAAAUCCCCCGUGCUCAUCAUAAGUGAUGAUGAACAGAGUUUCAUUCCACUGCGGCGACGAUCUAAGCGUCUCGUAAACCUCCUUAAUGAACAUCUGUCCUUGAUAUACAUCGUGCGACGGAUGAUCGUCGUUCGCCGGCUCCAGCGGCAAAUCUAUAUACCGUUGCUCCACCACCACGUAGUUCGGCAGUUUCCCCUGCUUUGCAUCCUUCUUGAAGUUCAGACCGUAGUCGUGAAAUUUAUUCACGUAUUUCAGUUUCCGUAGAUUCCGAUAGAACAGCGUCGCUGGAAUGUUCUGGUAAUAGAUUCCAAAUGACAUUCCAGCAUCGUCGAGAUUCUCGAAGAUCGUUCGCUGAGGAUAGCCUUUAGCAAGAAGUGCCGGAAUGUUACUGGUAGCUCCAGCGGAGGUCGCUGAAUGAACAUAAAGGCGAUUCGGUUGCGUGGAGGCCGGUACAGACGCAAACCACCUGUAAAAUCAAUUCGCACAUUCGGAUUCUAGAAUUUUAAAAUCCUUCAAAUAGGAUCAUAGAAUUCCAGAUCUGGAAGAAAUUAGAACAAAAAAUCAAUGAAUCACCUGUCGAAAACGGCGAACUCGGAGACGAGAGUUUUGUAGACAGCGACCUUAUCUGGGAGGAAUCCGUUCAUGACAUCGCCAGACAUGGCGGAGGUAUUAUCCAUGGAGAAAGCCUGUUGAGCGAAACCGUUCAUAGGAGGAGGAUUAGCGGAGGUGUUGUCGGAACCGAAAAUCUGUUCACGAAUGGCUUGAAAGGAGUGGCCAGGGUCGGGGUCGACAUAGUGAGACUGGUCUUGGAAGAAGAAGCGCUUGGAGUUGGGAUCGGUGGUGGAGAGGAGGUUGGAUUCAGAGCCAUCGACGCCGUUGAUUUGAGGAUUAAGUUUUUUCAUCCAGCCAAGCAUGUGGUCGAAGGAGCGAUUCUCCAUGACAAGAACGACAAUGGUGGUGAUUGGAGAGGCAUGGAGGAAGGGAGUGAUGAUGAAGAAGAAGAAGAAGAAGAAGGGAAUGGAUUUGGGAGCCAUUGAAGGAGUUGAUGAAAUGAAGAAUACCGUGAGUUUGUUUGUAUUUAUAAAGUGAGGGGGCAGAUGGAUGUGUGGGGCAAUUUGUUAAGUGUCGUUUUGAUUCUGUGUAAGUUUUGGCAGCUGCUUCAACCUUUUACAUUCUCUCUCUUUCUCUCUAUUCAUUGUAUUUCGGUAAUGUUUCCAUUCAUUUUACAUUCUUUUCUUAAAAAAGAAUAGAAAAAUUAUUUCAUACCCUACAUCUCUUCAAAAUAUUUAGGAAUAAAACUAAAAUUUUACCAUCUAUCAAUUUAGUCCCUUUAGUAAACAUUCAUACCAAUCUCACACGAAUAUAAGUCGGUUGGCCGGUUUGGUCAUUAUAAAAAGUUGAAAUUUACCAAUUUAAAAUUUUCUCAAAUCAACACUGACCGACACGUUUCCUUUUUCAACCAACCAACAUUAGUUCAGUCAAUGGACUCAUUUUUUCGAUUUAUCAUCAUCAUGAUUAAUAGACACGCAUAAACUUCUAUCGCUGUCUAUCUUGAUACAUUUAGAUAAUGAUUGUAUAUUUUAUUAUAUUUCGUACAUAUUUUACUUCAUUUUGCUACAUUUGAAAAUAGUAAUGAACUAUUUUAAAAUAAAUAAAUCUUUUGUCUUCAAAUAGCUUUACAAAUAUUUUAUGUGUAUUUUAAACAAAAUUGUUUAUAUAGAAAUGACUUAUUUAAAAAAUAAUUUUCUAAAUCAUAAUUAUGCUCUAACAUACAUACUUUUUUUUGUAUGAGGGUCAAAUCUUCAUACUAGGGCUAUGCAAAAAAUAGUAGAAAAUUGAAUCGAUAGACAAAUUAAAUCGAAACUGAAUGCAUAUGGUUCAAUUCGAUUUGUGUUAAAUUGAAACUGCUUCUUAUGCGAUUCGAUUCGGUUUAAGAUAUUAAAUUGGUUCUAAAACCGAAUUGAACUACUUUAUUUUUAAAAAAACAAAAUAUAUAAGUAUAACUUAACUUAGGGUAAACAAUACUCGAAAACGUAGAACUCGAACGACACUCAUAAAGCAUAGGGAGACGAAGACGACAUCCUUUGCCAUGAAAACCCUUCGACUCAAUAUCAACUCCAACAAUGACCUUCACUCUGACCCUUAUUGUGUGAAGUGAGGCAAUGGUAAACCUCUCAAAAUUCGGCAACUCUAGCAACUAUUGUUGCAAUGCCCUUCAAACCAUCUUAACAACCUUCACUCCGACAAUGGUAAGUCUCAAACUCUUUGUCACAUGUCGCCCCGCAUGCAUCCUUAACCCUGCAAUAUGAGAUAGAACGCGACUAGCAACUUUGAACUUUAAACAAAUAAGCACUAGAAAACCUAACUUAAGCAACUUAACCAUAAUAAUUUUAAUAUCGCAAACUAUUUCUCUUAUUAACUUAAAAUCAUCCAUUCUACAAAUUUUACUUUAAAGUACAAGCAUGCUUAAUACAAGAACUUAACAAAGAAAUUCUAAACACAUUCACAACAUUCAACCUUCAACCUUCAACAGCCUAGCUUGCUCACCUUCUUUAACCCAAACUUGGCCUCAACACCUAAAUCUUAGGGAAGGGGAAGCUUAGAACAUAAGGUCAAUGACUUAGUGAGUGAUAUAUUUGAAAAUAUUUUUGGGAAAAUAUAAUACAAUCACAUAAAUAUAGUUUUCGUUUCACAAACGCAGAUUCAAUGCCUCAAACCAAUAAACAUAAAUCACAUAAACACACAUUAGUUUUUCACUAUUCCUUUCGCCAAGAACAUGAAUCAUCCUCAUGCGUAGAAUACUAUGAGGUCUCUUUCAUCAUCAACAUCCUUGAGAAUUUUCUAGUUCAUUUCUUGUUGUUCGGGCCGCUAAGCUCAAUACACUCCUUUUAUGUAUUGACAAACUUCACUCCAACAUGCAAUUCUUUUCACCUGGUUGUCUUUACUUCUUAUGUGCACAUAAUAGCUAGAUCAUUUAUAGGAAUAUGACUAAUGGUUUACUCUUAAUCAAAGCAUACAAUACAAUCAAUAAAACAUGAACUUUAACUCUAAAACAUAAUACUAAAACUUUUUUCAUAAAACAUGCUUUACAGAAAUUGAUUCUCAACAUAAAUAUGUAAAAAACGAGAGCGUGCUUUCCGUUAUCCAAAAUAUAACAUGUUUCAAUACUAAAGAAAAAACUUUGAAAAACUUUUUUUUUCUUUGAAAAUCCACUCACAGAAUUAAUUAUUUUUUCCAUUAGGUAGAUCUAUUAAUUCUUUUUUCCUUUAGGUAGAUCUCUCAAUCCUCUUUUUGCUUAGAACUCCUUGAAACCUCAAAAGCUUCUUGUCAGCAAGCUUCUUUCUUCUACAGUAGAGUAAUUCUAAUGAUUUCGUUUGCUUAAUCCUUCUUCUAUCGUCCUUUCUCCCUUAUUUAAUUUAAUUUCCAAAAUAGCUUAGUCAUCCUUAAGUUCUUAAAACUUGUCACCUCCUGCUUCUUACAAUUUUAAGUCCUUUGCAUGUUUAAACAUUUGGAUUUCAACUCUAUCGAACAUUUAACUCUUAAUGAUCCUGAGCGGAAGUGGCUUGAGAUCACCUCGAGACCUUCCACUUUUCCCUUUUACCUUCAAUUUCUGUCGAACUCGUGUUCGAGAUUGUUCGAGAUCUUCUUAUACUUGCUUCUCCACCCCAAAUUGCAAUGAACAAGCACUGAGAUUGCCUCGAGAUGAACCUUCUAUCUUCAAUUACUUUUCUACUUCCAGUCCCAUCUAAGUAAUACACGAGAUGGCUCGAGACCCAACUCUAAAACCCUUCUAUUUUUUACCUUGGUAGUACUGCACCUAGAUGCCCUCAUUAUAGCACUAGAAUUUGCUCUCUACUUUCUAUCUUGCUCGUGAUCACUCAAGGUUGUCUUGAGAUUUCAUUUCUCUUUUAGGCUCGGGUCCCACACCAACUAUGAAAAUAAGGGUUUGAAAUUGGUUUAAACCCUUAUUUUGUAAAUCUCAAACCCUUAUUUCCAUGAUUCACUUUGGCAACGGCGCAACUACUUAUAUUGGUUUUAAAUUGAAAAAUCAUGUUUCAAUUCUUAUAUUGGUUUUAAAAUAUUUAUGUUGUAGGCACUAGGCAAAAUGUCAACAAGCUUGACCAAUAACGAUGGUAACACUAAAACAAACAUAAGGAGCAAAAGCAACAAUUGUUCUAGUGUAAACAAAAUUUGACAAAAUUCCUACACUUCAUAGGAAAAAUCAAGUGUAAAAAAUUGUCUUUUAGUAGUUUUGUUUUAGGGUUUAAGCUCACGUAUAACUUAGCACCUACCACAAUAACAACCUCCAUAUGAUCCGCUUCUAUAUACAGAUAGCACACCCACCAUGAAUUAAGCUAGGCCCAAAGCCAAAUCACAAUCCUCCAUCCAUAUCCUCACCUAGGUUCAGGAUCUCGAAUCUCCAGUCACGACUUCUUUCAACUCUGAAACCCCCUAACAACCAUAGGUAACGCUACGAAAAAAAUUCACAUAGCCUUAGGAAAAUCACAACAUUAUUUCAUAAAAAUCACAUGUUUAAAGUUUAAAACUCAACGUGGUUAGAAACACAUUUUCAAAUCAUUUGCGAUCCUUAGCCAUCAACACAUAUUUUUAUAAUAACAUUUCAUUCAAACCAUCCAAGUUUAAUGACAGAUCAAUGAGUAUUAUUCUAAACCAGUUGUCAUCUAAAACAUGACUAAUAAAUUUAGGUUCAACAAUAAUUUCAAAAUAUAAGAGUUCAUGAAAACCGAAAACCAUAUUUGAAAACAUUUCUAACACUUAGUUUAUAAAACAAUCAUGGUGUACUAUAAUAGCAUAUAUAAAUUUAUAAUAAAAAUACUUGAAAAUAAACCACACAUUAUCAAUGACUCGAUCCACCGGUGAUAUACGCUUUCCCCACUUCAAUUUGGCCUGGAGCAAAGAUUAAAGUCUAUUAGUUAUUUUCACAAAGCAAGACAACACAACAAUCUCCAAAUCACUUCAUAAGGUAAAACUCAAACUAUUUAAUGUGUUUAAAGUCCUUGAAUUCUCAAUUCGCCUUAGACUAGAAUAGACUCUUCGCCUAUGAACCCUUAAACUAGAAAUCUAGAUAAAACUCAACGAGUCUUUUAUGUAAAUACAUUUUUAUCCUCAUUAUUGAUGAUGUUUGGGAUUUAUAUCCAUUAUAUCAACAAGUCAAUUAACCUUAAAUACUUCGUAAGAUUCCCUAAAUCAUUUAUGUUUCAAACAUGUAAAAACAACACCCAACAACCUCCAAAGCUAGAAGAAAGUCUCCUCUUGACCUCUAACAUUCAACUUUAGGACCCAAGUAAUAUGAGUAAUUUAAUCUUAACAAUUAAAAUCAAUGGGCAUUUAAGAACUCGAAGAAAACUCACUUAAAUUACUCCAACACUUACCAAGCACUUAGCAAAGUACCAUUAACUUCAAUGAAAAACCCUCUAACGACCUUCAACUAUCGAAUCCUAACAUCCAAAAACCAUGGGUACUCAAGACCCGCUAAAUAAAGCUUAGAAUCUUACCCAAGUGGUGCGAAAAUGCCCAAUUCCAAGCUUCCUCAAGGCUAGACAGCGACUCAAACUCUUCUAAAACCCAAACCUAGCAUCAAAAUUAUGGGUAUUAUGAAAAUUAAGUCAAAACUUUAUGGGUAGCCAAAACUCUUCAAGAAAUCCAACUAAAAAAAAUACCUCAAAUCCACAAUAGCUCCAACAAAAGAGAUCAAGCUUCAUAGGCAACCAAUCACAACACAUAAUAGGGCUCAAUGUCGAGCUCAACUAUCAAUGGUAAAAAAUCCAAACAACGAUGAAGAAGGUGCAAUGGCUCGAUGCUCGGAGAUCUGGCACAACUGAAUGACAUGAGUUUGAUGGUGCGAUGCACGGUGGUUGAAGUCAACGAGUUGAGUGGAGCAGGUUGGUCAAGUACAAAAUAAAGAGGAGUCAUAUGACUAGAGCUUUGACUGGCGAAGAUUGGUUGUUCGGGGAAGAGAUGCAUCACGCAUAGUAGAUUUUGUGAGGGGACACGUGCGUGGAGAAAGAGGGGAAGACGAAUCCAGAAUUCCACUUUUUUCUUGUAAAGAAAAACAUAAAAUAAUUUUUAUGCCCUCAACUCAAAACCAAACUUCAACUUGACCAUUUUCUUAGUUUUAAUUUUCAAAUCAUUACCAAAAUAAAAUUGAUUAUAAAAUUUUCUCAAAAAAAGAUAUAACCCAUAAAGAAUUUACACUUGGAUUUUAAACUUGUUUUUUAUAACUUAGAGAAUAUUGAUAUACAUAAAAGGAGAAUGGAAUGAGGGCUUACAUGCUAGGGCAUAUCUCAUACUUUUUUGCUCGAGUUGAAGGACAAAGUGUUUUUUAGAUAGAACUCACGCCAACUCGGGAAAGUUUCCAAGCAAGACUAGAAAUAGAGAAUGAUAUAUAAGGGUUCUCAGGAAACCUCGAGGUCGAGUCCGACCGAGAUUAAGAGAGAUAUCAAAUGGUUAUCGGGGCUAUAUCGGACUGUGUUUCGAGACUAGAGAUAAAGGAGUUCUUUUAAAGGUUUCUUGAAGUGAUCUUGGGCCAAUUACAGUUGAUUGCAUUGAAAAAUAAGAGUUCGAUGGAGUGAUCUUGCUCAUUUAACAACAUUAAGAAGUAUAAGUAUUAAAUGGCAAGACAUCUCUCGAUGUCGUGUGGACUGCACCGAAAGUUUAAAAUUGUCGAUGUCAUCCAUACGAUGUUGGGAGAUGUCUAAGAUCUCCGGACACUGCAUGUUGUGUGUCGGGAGAUUCUCUUCAGACACGUUUCUUUCGACCUCAACUCCAACGAGCGUUUAUGCGUCAAGAGAUCCUUUUUCGUAUAACUCUCGACGCUUUUUCAUAUAAUUUCUUACGCUUUUGUGCAUUGGGAGAUUCCAUUUUUCUUGUAGUGACUUUUGGUUCCUAAAUUUUUAUAGAAGUAACAAUUUAGUCCUUAAAGGGGCAUUUGGAGCAAAAUCUAUGAAAGACUAGAAUAACCCCUUCUUGCUACAAUAAAUAUUAUUUAGAAAUCCUCAAUUAGGCUAUAUACAGUAAAACACUAUUUCAAAAUUUCCAAUUUACUAUGUUUUUUUCUUUUUACACAAGUCAGGUUGGAUCGAGUUAAAGAUAAAUUAUGGACCAAUCCAAAGUCAUCACAAAAAAUUGAACCCUAUUAGUUCAAUAUGCAAGGGUCAACCCAAUCCAACCAAACCCAUAAUUUACAGGUUGAGUCGAUUAUGUCACUAGGUUGGUUUUUUUUUUUAUAAUUUAGACUAUUUUAUCAUUCUUUCCUUUUUUACAUUAAAAGUUGAAUUUUUACAUUGAACAAAAUAUCAUAAAUGACCUAAAUAUGUUACAUCAAUUUUUUAAAAAAUUAUAAUCAAACAAACAAGUAAAUUUCAAGUGUUUACCCUUAAAUACAUAAAAACACUUUAAACCUAAGUUUAUGUAAAAUUCAAGUCUCCAUUCAAAUUCAUUCAAAAUAUAAAUAAAAAGUAUUUAAAAACAAUUACAUGCAAAGUUUAAGUCUACAUUCAAAUCCAUUUAAUAUAUAAUAAUAAUAAAUUUGGAUUGGGUUAGGUUGACUAUGUUACUAAAUCCUAUAACUCAACCCAAUUCGAAAUUUUUAGAAAAAAAAAUUUCAACCCAAUCCAACACUUACAGUUUGGGUUGGGUAAUUCGACUUGGUCGAAUUACCUCGUUUUUUUAACGAUCCAACUUUUUUCGUUACGGUUUUUACUAUUUUAUAUUUAUCAUUUUUUUUUCGUUCACUGUUUACUAUUUUCUUCUCAAACUAAAAUAAUUUACUACUCAAGCAGAUCAUGUUAUAACUCAAUUAUAAUAACUAAGACUAUAAUAACCCACUUAUUGGCUCCAAACAUCCUUUAAAUCUUAAUAUAAAUAACAAUUUAUUCCCUACACUUUGAAAUUUAUAAGAAUUUAGUUCUUAUCAUAAAAAAAAAAUCUUUUUUCAAAAUUAAGUGUAAACUUUUAUUAUGUAACAACUUAAUCUUUAUAGUUUAACCCAAACAACGGUAACAAACUUAACUGCUUCCCAAUUGGUUGGUUGAUCGUCUCACAAACAAAAAUUGAUUCAAUAUUGAUAAUAUCAUUUAUAACGAAAACUAAAUUAUCACAAUCAUAAAAUAUAUAUAGAUUAAAUUGUUAGCUAUAAACUUAAAAGAGGUAAAGUCUAUCAAAAUUGAUACCUAUAGAAGUGUGUUAUUAAUACAAUCUAACAUUUUAUUAUAUUCGGUAAAUAUUGUAUUUUUUCUUACUUCCUAAUAAUUAUUUAAAAAUUCAACUAAUAAUAAUUUUGAUAUUGUUGUGAUCAGUUAAUUCCGAGCUGUCAGAAACAGGUCUGACAACGUCAGAUGCAUAGGAAAAAAAAUUGAAGUCAGGUUUCCCGAAAAGCAAAGCUAAUGCGUGAGAGAAACCAAUAAGUUAAAAUAAGUUUGUAAUAAAAAGAAGAACAAAUUAGUCUCUCACUGCCUUCCUCAAUUCUCCAAUUCCACUUGUUUCAUGCAUCAAACUUUGAAUAGUAAAAAGUUGCGUAAUACAAAAUUUAGACCCCAUGUUUAUCUCCGGUAAACAUUAAUAAAUUAGUAUGUACUCCCCUUCCUAUUUUGCUUCCAAUAUAUUGAAUGCCCAUUAUGAUAUGUCCAUAUUUUCUAAACUCAAAUUUAGCAGGUUUAAGUAUGGUAAGCAUAAAUCUUCCAUAAAUUUGGAUAUUCUUUGUUUGAACCUUUGCAAUUUUUGUUUGAAAGUAGAUGGAAACCAAGAUUUUCUCUUUUUGAGACAUUUUUAAACAUGUUAGACUUGGUUAGUUUCAACUUUAGUGCUCUACCCAAAAACAAGAAUUUUGAAUCCCUUCUCUUCAACCCCACUUCUACGACUUAAAAUCGAAAAGAAAGCACAUACAAACAAAAGUAUCUCCUUUCGUAUAUUAUUUUAUUUAAUGGUUUAAGAAAAAAUAUACUAUUUUCAUCGUUCUAAUUUAGAAAGAAAGAUAGGUUAUCUAGUAAUAUGUUUACCAUAUAUUUUGAAAAUAUAUCAACAUAUUAUAUGUUCUUUAUAUGAAAAUGCAGUGAGUCCUAUCUUGUUCGUACUCAAACUUCAAACUCAUAUGACCAAGUCUCAUAUGUCAUAACUUAAUCAUAUUUUCGUAAACGAUAGAUGAUGCAACAAAAGUAUAACAUAUUAUUGUGGAACCUAAUAGAAAGUUUAAUGUUCCACGUUUUGGUAUCUCUUAGAGCCACCUUAAAACCCUUGUAAACAUGCAUAGCACCAUCUUUAUCUUUGAAACUGGAACCCUUAUGAUCGAGCACAUUAAAAGAUAUUAGGCUCUACAUCAUUAGUGGAAUAUGUCUAACCUUGUUUAAAUUGUAAAAGACACACCAUCAUAUGUUUUCAUCUGAAUGAAAAAAUUUUACCUAUCAUGUACAUAUUACCGUUAGCAAUACUAACAUUCCCUUUGUCAAUUUGUUAAUACAUUCAAAUUCACUUUUUGUUCAUACACAUAUGGUAAGAUGCCUCAAUUAAAUUCAAGAACCCACAUGUUAUCAUAAUGUGAAUGUUCAAUCACAACUGAGGCUACAUCUCUUUUAGAAUCAACCUCAACUUCUUACGGACGAUCUAUCUCAACUUCUUUAGAGUCAAUCCACAUGUUUUACUAACGCAUUUUUCUCUUAGGACUUUUGUUAUUCCAAUGGUCUUUUUCUCCAGUAACGGCAAAUAUCACUAGACUUGAACCUUUGAACUUCAAAUAUUUAUGGUUUUAGUUCGAAUUUUGCUUUCUAAGAUUUCCAUGUCCCUUGCUCCAUGUGGUAGCUAACUCAGGCCUUUAAUUUUUUAUACUAGAACUAGUUGCAUUCAGACAAGAGUCUCUAGUAAGCAAAGUGGACUUUCCUUCUUCUAAAGUUAGAGUUUCUUUUCCUUCACUAUAAGAGUCAUCAAAUUCUCAUAUGAUAAGAUCUUUACAGAAGAACAAUAUUUAUAUGUACAUAUCACAAAAGAACAAUAUUAAUACUAUUGUAACAAAAGUUUAAAUAUAACUACUCUCUAACUCCCAAAGUCAACCGUUCUCGAAGAUUGAAGCUCCUUUAAAGAUACAAGUUUUCUUCCAAAACUUCAACUUUAAAAACAUCACAUGCUACGCUUCCUCCAAAUCAAGUGUAGGUGUUCAACCGAGAAAAAAUCAAAUUAUCAAAUUAUAGAGAUCGAACCACUUCGCAUCAAAUCAACGCAAGCACAACAUCAACACAAAUCCAACUCCACGAACAAAAUUUCUCCAAAAAUCUCGUAUGAACACUGAUGAACAUUCAUUAACUAUGGGACACUUCACUAAAGACUCAUAGUUGCACUCUUAUAAACUUUAGAGUAUUUACAUGUUCACUAACUCAUGUCGUUUUUUUAUAAGCCAAUUCUUUACAAAUUGUUUGUAACUAUAGCUAUGUCAAAUUUUCAUUAUACUCUUGUAGUUAAUAUUGCUUCUUGAGUACCAUUGUCCUACCAUAAACAAAGUUCUUCUCAAGUCAACGAGAGGAUGAGAGUUCAUUGUUCAAACCUCGAAAUCAACACUUAAAAGAACAACCUUAAAAUUGAGCCCAUGCUCUGUAAGCAAGGAUAUUAAACCCCACAUAAUUUUCAAACACAAUAAAUUGAGCAUCCCCAAUUCCUCAACGAAUUAUUAAACACAAAUAAACAACAAACAUAAUCAAAUGAUGCUAACUUUUAAGAUUAUCAUUCAAGAAUUAUGUUUAACCUAAAAUUAAAUGUGGCCUAAGUUGAUUCCAUCCGUACUCCACAGGGUAGUUUUUUCUUUUUUUUUUGGAUUUUGACUUCACAUAAACAAAAAGGACUUCUAGUCCUUUUUUUCAAAUGUAGUAUGCAUUUAUUAUCCAAAGAAUAUAUUUGGUAUCCAAUUCAUAUUCCGUUAUCAUUAUAUACCUGCAGUCAGAUAGGCAUAUCAACAGAUCUAAUAUGUACAAUAAAACCUUAAACUGCAAUGAAUCUUCAAGAACCAAGGAAUAAAGGUGGUAUACAAGAUUCAAAUUUAAAAUCCUCAAUUGGAGAAUUUCACAUUUGUAUAAUUUUAAUUUUAAUUUUAAUUUGAGUUUCCAUGGUCUAAUACCAAUGAAGAAUAUGAGACAUCAUUGAUAGGGUGAGUUAUCAUUAUCAAAAAUAUAUUUCAAAGUGAUUUAAAACCUAGAGAUAAAAUGAUUUAACUUAACAUUUCAUCUCUGAAGAAAAUGCCCCAUGUUGAACAAAGAACGUCAAUCUCCUAAUGUAUGUAACUAUUCUCCAUUUAACAUGAAUCCUAGAUAAACCAAAGUUUAAAACCUAAAUUGAGUCCUUUAAAAAGGUCAAAAUGUAACACCUUGGUUGUAUGCAAAAAAAAACUAAACAGAAGCAAUUUUACAAUAGUAUUCAUUUACCUAAGAAAAGAACCGUAAACAAAACGACGUUAUUUCUUUCUUCGAACAACGUGGGAUGGCACUUUGCCAACCAUGGCUUCGAAUGUGGCUCUUAGCUUAGAUUAAGCUUAGAUAAUUGUUUUAGCAAAAAAGGCAGCAUGUGAAUAUCUUCCUACACAAGCAAAUUUCAGACAGAAGCAUACGUGAUAAACAGAAUUCUCAAAUCUCAUGCACAACGAUAGAAAAAGAGAAACCAGAACAGUACAUUAGUAACCAACAAACACGUCUGACGCAUUUCACAAAUUAUUUUCGACUCGACAUCGACAACAAUUAAAACUAGGAAGGUUCCUAAAGAUUCCAGCUCAGUCAUAACAAAAUAGUGCAUAAUAAGCAACCCCCCUCUUUCACAACUGAGAGCAAAGGGGUUGAUUUCAUAUUCAAAGAGUGUAGUCAUUCAAACCAAACAUAUGAAGAUUUUGAAACCCACACCAUCAUCCAGCAGUUCAGGUAAUGUAGACUCAUUCCUACCCGCAUAGAAUACGCCAAAAAGUCUUCAGAGACAGAACUUGCCAAGCAGCACAACAAUAUCAUCACCUGCCUUCGGAUGAUAGUAAAAGCAAUUUCGACAGCUAGACUCGACAGUUAAGUAGAUUACUGAGUACACCAUCUUAUCCCACCAAUCAAUCCCUUCAGAUAAAACCCCGAUGAACUUAAGAAGACCUUCUAACCACCAAAACCAACCUGACAAGGCAAUUUACUUCCAUACGAACAGCUCAUCGAACAACGUUCCCAAUUUUCUCUUCCUCCUUUUACUGGAGAGCUCGGCCAUUUUGCUACAAAAAAGACAACAGAGAACGUGUAGAAGAAAAUCAUCUUACACCUAACCAUCCAUGUUUAGGUAUACACACAAAAUCAGAAAAGAAACACUGACAAUCAAAAUAGACAACUUACACGAAUGUAUCAGUCCUUACACAAUUUAAUUUAAAGAACGAAGAUUUCAUUGAAAGAAAAUAUAAGGUCAUGCAUCAAAAAAUGAAUAAAUUUAAAUAUAAAUAUAAAUAAUAAUAAUAAUAGAUUUAAAGUGAUGUAACUAAUGUAUGUACCGAUCCAACAAAAUCUUGUUUACAUUUCUAAAAAUGUCAUGAUAACAACUAAUUAUCAUAAUUUCAACUGUUCAGAAAAAACAAGAAAAGACUUUUAAACACAAAAUUCGAAACUCAUGAAUGACUGUAAUUUAACAUAACUAUAAAGUUGCUCUUUCAAUAGCUUGUAAAUCCCUCUGUUUACAUUAAUUGUUCAAGUCUAAAAUUAAAGAAAGCUUGGAUGCAUUUCAAAAUACACAUAUGCGCUUAACUUCAAUAAAAGAAGUUCAUAAGUUUAGAUUAAAUUAAACAAAAUCUUGUUUACAUAAAGACCUAGAAAUUGAAGCCCACAAAGAGGAAUUAAACCGCAGCUCCCAAAUCUAAUCACUCAACCUCCCAUCUCUCUAGAAAUCCUAUUAUUUCUCUCAAGCCAAAAGAAUUUGCUGGUACAAAUAAGACUUGCAAAUGUUUUUUCAAUUAGCAUCCACCACCCCAUACUGGAAAGGAUGCAAGUUAUCAAACACUGAUACACACAAAAUUCAUCUAAGCCUGAAAAAGAUUACUCUAAAGGUGCACGAGGUCUUAUCAAGUUCCUAACUUAUCAUCGGACGACAGUACUUUUCAAGGCAGCAAAGUGAAUAACUAGUGUCAUUAUUAUUUAUUUAUUUUAGUUCUUUCCUUCGAACAAAUAAAAACUAAUGGGAAGAGAGAGAAACAAGAAUGCAGAACCAAUUAGCCUAAGCAGAACUAAAACAUACUUGAAAUUGAUCAGAGACUUCUUUACUGAAAAAAAGGAAGUGAGAAAGCAAUUCAAAACGUAUAGCAACAAGAAAAUGGAAGAUAUGGGAAGAGAAUUACCUGUAUGGUUGCAAGUGCCUGCUCAAAUCCAAGGCCAGAAAUGCUCCAAUAAAUUCUUCAAGAAGCAGCAAAGGUGGAGUUCAAUUUGGCACCAGGAUGUGGUACAAUCACCAUUAUCAUUCCCAAGGACCUCAAGAAUCAAGGAAAUAAGUUAAGACAAGACUAUGAUCCUUUCCAUAAACUUGUCAAUAUCACCACAGUUAAGCAAUCAGUGUAGAUAACUGACAUACCAUCUAUACUCUCAUACUGACAUCACAUGAAGUAACGACCUGUCCAUAUAGACUGCCCUGGAUAUUGCUCAGGCAGCGAAUUAAAGUGUUGGUUACCACCAUUCACAAGCUGUUGAUGAGGCUGCAAAUGUUGUUCAUUGUGUUGUCUUAGCUGCUCAAGCACCUGAAAAUCAGGCCAGCCUUUCUGUUUUCCUAUUGGAGACUGCACGUUUGGAACUUGUUUUCCAGGAAAAGGGAAGUUGAUUGUUGCACUCAACAUAUUACUAACACCAAUUUGCUGAGCAUUCAUAUGAGAGGUGAGAUGCACAGCAUUAGCAGAGUCUUUUGUAGAAGAGGGCAGCUGAUAUCCAUCCAACCAGCUAUAAUCAUCCAUCACCUGAUUCUCACUUCUAAACUCUGAACCAGGAAGGGAAUCAUUAGCAUGCUUAGUUGGAACAUGGUUGAAUCCAGGAGGAGGUCCAAGAUGCCUAACUGGUCGACCAACUGGGUUUUUCCUCAACCCUGUUUGAAGGCUAGAAAAUGCACCUGUAGUCAUUGGAUCAAUGAUGCCUCCAAACGAAGCAGGUACAUCAUUCCUAGAUUGUACAAGAGCUCCUACAGGCAUUUUAUCACUGUAAAAAACAUCAUUAUUAACAGCUUGCUUGAUAGGCAUCAAGUGAGCUGCAGGAUUGAACAUGCUUACAUCAUUCUGAAGAUCAGAUUUCAUCCCAUUCCCAUUCUCCAAUAACCUCAAACUUUGCAAGCUGUCAACAAGACAAGCUUCCUGUUCAAGUGGCCAUUUAGAUGCAUUCGCCUGAAUUGUUUGCCAGUGGAGGGUGUUAAUAUUGGCAGCAGUCACAGGUGCCUGAGAACUUGACUCAAAACCAUUUGAUUGGUAAACAUCAUCAGAAGAGGUCAUCACACCACCAUAGGAUCUUAGAUCCCCUCCAGAAGAAUUUCUUCCAAGUAGCAAACCCUCAUAACCAGACCGAUAUGAAUCAGCAAGUUCCAUUCGCUUCUCUGCAACUAAAGGCUUGAAGACAAUUACUUCAUCCUCCUCUUCCCCUUCCAAAACUAGCUGUGAACUUGGCUUACUGACAGCCAAAUUGUUUGUUUUCUCAACUUGAGUUUCUUGAAUUGCACUGCCUGGACUAGGGAUCAUGCUAGAAGACAAUGGAACGACAAAAUCAUUUGGCACUUGAGGUUCAACACCGGUACAAAACAUUUUCACCUUUGAAUUGUAGUAUAUUGGUUCCUGAUCAAUCUUGACUACACUUGCUAAAGCCUUCCCCGCAGCCAGAAUCCUUUUAAUGCGAGCAACCUUCUCUUUGUUGCCAUCACUCCCAGAAUGCUUCCUUGAAAAAUCCAAUAUCGUCUGUGCAGGAAGAAGUGGCAAGAAUCCCCUUAAUUCAAGAUCCUCCCACAAUGCAAGUCGAUUUUCAGUUUCGCCCUCUUCAUAUUUACUGAGGUUAAAAAAGCAUGUGUCAUCCUCAUCAUCAUCUAGAGACACAGAACCACUUGACAAAAGCUUAUUGAAGAAGGAGAUGCAAAGGUUCCAAAACUUUGAUCUAGCAGUUGCCUGUUUAUCAUCCACUUCACUGUUUGCUGCAAUUUCUGGACAACAUGCCAACCAUUCAACAAAAACUAGAAGGCCAGGCAGAAAAAAACUUGACAAAGGAUCACGCAACUGGGAACAUCUAUCUAGAAUAGAGCCCAUCAAUUCGAAGACUGCAAGAUGUGCAUUCUGGAUCAACACAGCCCGUUGUACAAUUUCUGAAUAUGUCUGUCCUUCAGUUUCUUUAUUCACAUUGUGAACAGUGAAUAUAAGAAUUGCAACAAUUCUAACUAUAAUGAGACUGUUCUCAGCAGUAUCUGUUCCAAAAAGCAGUUCCUCUUCAGGUCCACAAGCCAAAAGUUCAGAGAAAUUACUGAUAACCAAUGAGAGAACCUCUGUAAAGGUCUCUAGGCUGGAUGAGAAGAAAAAUAAGAUUCAUAUAUAUGCUGGGCCCAGAGAAAAAAGGAAGAAAAUGUGGGGGAGGGAGGGAAACAAGUAAAUAGUCAAAGUAAUUACCUUGUGCGUGUGAAAAGAAUUCCAUUUAGACGAACAAAUCUAAUGCAAAAGGAUUUAAAAAGAUCUUGUGGAGAUAACACACUCUCCUUUGGGGGUUCAGUGCUAGAAUCUUUGGUUGCAAGCUUUACUUCUCCCUUCCGUCCUUUUCCACUAAAUCGAAGAGGUGAUUCCUUCUUUGGAGGAGUUUUAGCAAUCCCUGACAGCUGGGAAUGGCUAUGACGAUUCUGCAAAAAAAAAAUAGGAAACAACCAAUAGCUCUGUUAGUUCAGCAUCAACAUUGAACUAAAUGUCCAGGACCAGUAAUAGAAGAACUUGGCUGACAAACAUCUAAACUGCUGUCUGCAUCAAAGUGAUGUAAAUUGUCUUUUAUAAAAAAAAGCAAAAAUAAAUAAAUAAACAAUUGGUUUUUUAUUGGAAACAUGGGUGUUUCAUCAAUAUGAUGAAAUUACAUUACAAAAAGGGAGAGAGAGAGGGUCCAAUCCAAUGGAAUAGCACCUUAAACCAUCAAUGAAGUCAAUACAGUAAUUUCCAAGGCAAAUACAAAAAGCUGGAAACAUGGUACCAAGACAUGUUGGUUGCAAAAGUUCAGAAGCAGAAAGAGUCAUCAAGUAAUUAAACAACACACAUAAUCAUAACAGGUUACUAAUUCAACUUGAGCACUCGGCCUUGAGUUUCAAAUAAUGCAAUAUGAUAUCUAGUAGCUCAGCAUUUUAAAAAUAAUAUCUAUGCCAUGAGCAUGAGAGUCAAAAAGAAAAUACAAAAGAUAGACUGCAGUAUGCGUCGUAAUAAUGGAAAAUACCUUCUCAAACGCAACAAUCAAAUUAUCUCUGGCAGUAGAAAAUGGGGAAUCAACAGCCAAACUACGAAAAUAUCGAUAAACAGCAACCAACUCAUCUCCUGAGUACGAAGCUAAUAUUGCAAGCUGAAAGAUGGAAACACCUCAAACAUAAGUGAGAAGUUCAAAAUGAAGGUGAGAAGCAUAUAAUGUGAGGGCAAAAGCUAAAAAACAAUAAUAAAGAAAUCAAAAUAAGGGAUUAAUAUUCAAAAUCAAUAGACCUGAUGAUGAGGAUUGCCACUUGAUGGCCAAAGUGAUGCUGCUUGCAGGUAGUAACUUGAAGCUGCAGUAUACUCCCGAUUCUUUGAAUCAACAUCCCCGUAUGACCCUUUGUAGCGUGCAAGAUCACCCAAGUAUAUCAAACAACGAUGACAAGAAAUGAGACCUUUCUUCAUGUCAGCAGACUUCUUUCCAUCUUUAUCUGUAGCCAUACGGUUGUCUGCAUCCUCCGAGAAGAAACCCAAAGGGAGCCCAUACUUUGCUCUGAUUUUCAAUAUUAAAUCAUGGUAAAAUCCAGUAGCUUCAGAAAGAAAUGUUUUGAACUGCAAUCUUAUUUUUGAAAUUCUGUCAGGCCUUGUAGGCACGCCUUGAGCAUUGUUAGAACCAGCAGUCAAAUGUCCCCUAAGCUCCUCAAUUCGCUUGUAAUGCAACUGCCAGAGAGCAUAUUCAAUAUUGUGCUGUUCAGAAAAAGCAUAAUCCUCAAGGAUUAUUGCUUCAUAAUUUUCACGUAUUUGUUGCCAUGCAUUGGGAUCUGACGGAAUUCGAGCCUGAGCUGACCUUCUACGUCGAUUUUCCAAUUCAAUAUUCUGAAAAGAGAUAAAAACUAAAACUAUUUAAAAUUUUAAAAACACACAUAAGACAUAACCUACAAGAGAUCCAUCGCAUCCAGAUAUCUUAUAGACACAAAACUCAUCUCAUUCUGGUCUCCACACUAAUAAAAGUGUGUUUUACUGCUUAUAAUGGUUAAAUCAUUAUCCACGUUUUAUACCAACAAAAUUAUAUAUUAGAAGCAAAAAAAAACAGUUGUGAAAGAAGAGCAAAAGAAAGAAAACAAAACUACCUUUUCAUAAAGGCGUUGAGCACGCUCCCACGAUGAAGAAGCGGAAGCAGACAUUUUAGCCAUCUAUAUAUUUAUCUUCCAUCAAUUAUAUUCAGAUUCUUCAUACCACAUACAUCUGCAGGACAUUCUUAACCCAUCAGCAUGUUGAACAACAGAAGUGCAUAGAAAGUAAAAUAGUGAAAGAAAAGCAUAAAGCCAUCUAAUGGAAUUGUAUGCUUUGUAAAAAAAAAAAACAAUAGUCCCUCACUAUAAACAAAAGAUAUACUUAAACCUAAUGCUUUUAAAGAAGAAAAAAAAUCUUAAAACUAAUACUAUUAUCCAUCCUUGGCUAUUACAUACUGGCACAAAGAAUUCAAAAAGGACCACUUUCAAAGUGAACUCAACGAAUGCUUUUAGGAUCAAUCAAGCAAAAAAACUGGAAAUAUCUAAAAAUAAAUCAGAAUAUGAUGAAGUCAAAAAAUUGCAAAGAAAGAUCCCAAAUACAAUUUCAUAUCAGAUGAAAUCAAAUAUAAAAAUGGCCAAAUCAAUAGUGCAUGCAUUAAAAAUAACAUGAAGAUAAGGAGGCUAGCAAUCAACACAAGUAAAUAAUUUAGAAUUCUGUCACCUCAAAUCACAUUUAGUAACUUCGUGGGAAUUACCCAAUGAUCAGAAUACAAUUUCAAACUCAGAAUCAGACAUAUGAUAUAUGUUUUCCUUCAUCCAUUGCUAAGCGGGAAGAUGACAUGUUCUCUGCUGUCCAGCCUAAAAUAUUUUAAGCUUGACGGUGGGAGAAAACCCUCAAGAUGCAUAACUGCAUCAACCUAAUUAACCUAAAUAUGGCCACUCGGCCUGUACCAACAAUUCCUGUAUAAAUUUCCAAAAUCCAUCAAAUCAUUCCUCAAAGAGAAAUUCGCGGCUCAACAUGUAAUGAUCACUAUACUUGAAAAUUCAUUCAUAUUUAAGAAAAACCUAGUAAGAAUCUUGAAAUUAUGUUGCUAAGAGAUCCAAAUAAUAUACAAUAAAAAAAAAAAAAAAACCAAUCCAAUCAAAUGCACAAAAUAGACAGUUGAAUCGAAAAUAAGAUUCAAAACCCACCCAAAAUAAAAUUGGUCUAAACCCUAAGAGACCCAAAUAAUAUCCAAUUCACAUUCACCAGAACGAAAAAAAAUAACCAAUAGAUAGUCGUCUACACCAAAAAGAAAUUCAUAAUCCCCAAAGAAACCCAAUUAACAAUACGUAAAAUCACACCGUGGUUGACCUACAAAAUUCCAGCUUGACUUAAUUCCAAGACUCCAAAAGAAGAAAAAGAGGAAAACCCAGAAAAUAAUCAUCAAAUCCUAUCUAGAAAACAUCGACAGAACAAUUAAAAAAAAGGGUGGGUCAAACAAAACAAAGAGAGUAGAGAAAUGAAAUGAGAAAAAAAGAAGAAACCCAGAUCUAGAAACCCGGAAAGAAUUUAGAAUGAAUCAGCCGGAAAACCCAAAGAAAAGAAAAGAGACGGAAAUCAAGAAAAAGAGCAAUGAGAAGAAAUAGAAAAGUACCUGAGGAGAGCGAUCGGAUGGAGGAUCAAACUGGGAUUGAAGAAAGAGGAGGAGGAGGAGGAAGAAGAAGAAGAAGAAGAAGAAGAAGAGGGUUGGGAUUUACGAUUUAGGGUUGGGAAGAAGAGGAGAAAAAGGGGUGGGUUCGAAGAGGAUGAGAUUGGGUUUCGUUUGGUUUUGAUUUAGGAGAGAUUUUACCAAUUUCUUUCCCCCUUCUUCCUUUUUUUUUUUUUUUUUUUUCUCUCUCUCUCUCUCUCUGUUUUCGUUUCUUUUCUUUUUCAAUGUGUUUUCGUCCUUUUCUUUGUUUCCUUAUUCUAAUUCCACCAAACCAAACGACGCCGUUUGCUACCAAUCUUUUCGUUCUCUUUUGAGAAACAAAUAAACAAACAUAAUUUUAGUUCUUCUCUUCCUCUUCCUCUUCCCUUCCCCUACACCAUCGUGGUUUCAUCAACUCUCAAACAAACAAAAUUUAGUUUAUUAAAAAAAUAUGUAUAUAUAUCACGAGGACAGCACGUGCUUCCUUUUUGAGUUUAUUUGAAUGUUUAUAAACCAAGUGAGGGAGUGAGGCUUUAAAUCUUAUCCAAAGUUUAAAUAAAUGUAUGACGUUCUAUUAUAUUCUUUAUCUACAUUUUUUGUUUUUUUCUCUCUUACAUCUUCAAAUGAAUUCAAUAUAACCAAAAAAAAAAUAUUAUUCUUUUUUUGGGGUUUAUUUUCUAAAAUAUCAUUUGAAAUUUCUUAACUCUGAAUUUACAUCUCUUCACUAAUUCACUGUAUUUAUUCAAAAUCUAUUCUCAUACACAAAUUCAAAACACUUAUACAUUCCAAAUAUAUAUUUAUUAAAAUUAGUUUUAAGAACUAAUCUUAUUUUGUUUUCACUUUUUUUUAAAAAUGUUGUUUUUUUCUGUUAAAUUUAUUCUUGGUAUUCUUUCCUUUUCCUAAAAAGAAAAGUGUAAUUUCCUGAUUCUACACUAUUGAAAAUAAAUCAUUAAUAAAAAUUUAAUUUUUUGUUAAUUUUUCGAAAAUUUAUAGUCACAAAACACAAUAUUGCAACAAUAUAAGUUUUUUUUCUAGUGAGAAAAAUAUCUUCUUCUUCUUCUUUUGUGUGUAGAGGAUUAUAUAUAUAUGUAACCAACAAAGUUCUAAAUAAUUUCCUUUUUAAAAAAAUAUAAUUCUAAAUUGUCUCUUAAAUAAUAAUAUAUUAGUGUUAUUUGAAUUAUUUAUAGAUAAUUAUAGAAAGUAACUUUAGAAAAAUCAAUUCAUUAAAUAUAUAUAUAUACUUGUAUGUUGAAAAAUCAAUUCAAAAUUGUCCUAUUCAGCAAACAUUUCUUUGUGUUUUAUAAAUGGCAUGGUGGCUUAUUGGAUAUGGAUGGUAUUCAAAAUAUGGUGUGAAUAAAAAAGGAUCCAAGUGGUUUGAAGCUUUUGAGUUUUAAUUUCUUUGGGGAAAAAAAAAGUCAAUUUGUUUCAAAAUCAAUGGGGUUUUCAAAUAUAUCAUAAAGAAAAUGAAAUUAUUGAAUUCUCUAUUAUUCAUUUCUCAUUGAUCUUUGUUGAAUUUUUUGAUUGAGUAUUGUAUUUACAAAUUUUAGAUUUUCUUCAACACAUUUUAUGCUCGACUCUCAAAGAAUAAUUUGCAAAUAACUUUCUAUUGCAAUUUAUUUUGUUUUAUUUAACAAACUUACGAAUCUUUUUUGUUUGUUUAUCAAUUUGUUUUCAAACUUAAUAAUUAUUGGAAUUUUCAAUUUUAUUAAUUUGUCUUUAAGUUUGUUGAGUUUUGUAGAUUUUGAAUUUUCUCUAUCUGUCAUCAAAUCUUUUUUGCAAAAUUAACACAUUUUAGAUGAUUUUUCUUAUGUGUGGUCAAAUUUGUAUUACAAAUUUAGCAAUCUUAGAUUUCAAUAUUUGUGCGCCAAAUUUGUUGUAUAACUUACCAACCUCUUAAAUUUGGAGGAAUCGUUAUGAGUAGUAAAAUAGUGAAAAACUAUUUGAAAGAAAAAUAGAAUAGGCUAAUAGAGUUCAAUGAAUUUUAAUAUAUUUUUUUGCAAAUAGUUUCACUAUUUUGCUAUUUUUUCUGGUGUUUUCUUAAAUUUUUUCUUUUAUUCAUAAAUUUUCUUUACUUGUGAUCAACUUUUUAAAUUUCAAUCUUAAUUUAUCUGUAGGUUGAUGACUUAAGUGCUUAAAGUACGUUUUAUAUACUUAUAUAUACAUCAAAUGAAGCAAUGUAUUGGACUGUUUAUUUCAAACACUUAUUUUUAUUGAUAUUUGUGACACAUUUGCUUAUGUAAUCUCUUGUUGAUUUAGAAGGUCAAAAGGGAAUAUAUUUCUUUUCCUUGUUUUCUUUUUUCUUUUUUCUUGAAAGAAAAAAGGAACUUCUCUUUGAUUUAUGUAAAGCCUUAUAUGUUUGAACAUUAUAAAUUCAAACUAAAAUAUUAAAUAGUAGGAAACUAAUGAGAACUUUCUAGGCACAUAUAGAUUUAAUUUCUAAAAAAUAUUAUAUAUAUAUAUAUAUAUAUAUAUAUAUAUAUAUAUAUAUAUAUAUAUAUAUAUAUAUAUAUAUAAGUGAACUAAUUUUUUUAAAAAAAUUCUGAUGAACAUGUUUUUCUCAAAAAAGAAGAAAAAUGAAAAAACCCUUCUAAACUUCUGAUGAAUAUGAUUUUUUUAACCCUUUUCACAAUUAUAAUUUUACUUUAAACUGCCUAAAAUUGCUUUUCAAACAAAGUCUUUUGAAAGGAACUUUUGUAAUUUUUGAACCAUCACUGUUUUAAUACAACAAUUACAAGUCGUGAGAUCAAACUUCCUACCUUAACAAUAACUAACCACUAACCAUUGAUAUAGUUACUAGCAGUUCAAUUCGAUAUAAGCACAGUUGAAUUAGUCAAAACAUAAUUAACCUCCAAAGGUGUUCAAAUCUUCAAUGAGUUUUGAAUUAAAUUUCUAAAAAUAAAUAAAUAAAUAAAUAAUCGCAGUAUGUCUUAAGUUAAGGCUGUUGACAUUUCAAGGCAUAUUUUAAAAGCUUCCGUCUGUUUUGAAUUUAACAAUUGCACUCCAGAGUCAAACCAUCUAGGCAACCACCAUUGAUAGGAUAAUUGAAUUGAUGUCUUAUUCAUUAAGUUGUGCUCGGUUUGAGUUCACUCAGAAUUGGAAAACUGGAAUAUACAAACUGUAAAGCUUCUUACAGAAUAAUCAGAAAAGUCUCAUAUAUGGAAAAUGGAAGAUUUUCCUUGACAUUCAAAAAGGAAUAAAAAUUCCAAUAUUUGGAACUUAAUAUAUAUUAUAUAUGUUCAAUGACAAAGCCUUAAAACUACUAUUGUUACAACACGACCCACCUUCGCUUAGUCUAAUCCUCAAUAAAAAUCAAAGCAAAACAAGUGAAGUAGAAGAUACAAUAAUAACAAAACCAACCAAAGUCCUCAUUGGAGAAGGAAAAAGAAGAAAGAAAGAGGCGAAAAGAAAAAUAAGGAAGAAAUGAAAUUAAAGAUGGCAUCCCCAUGAAAGACCAAACUUAAAUAUUAGAAAAGCACACACAAUGGACCUGCUUACAAUAUAGGUGUAGGAGGAGGAUAUACAACAAAUGGAUGAUUGGAACUAAUUAUGGAUAUAGAGAGACUUGCAUGUGCCCAGCUUUGUUUGUUAUUUCCAUGGCGGAGAUGGCGGUUGUUUAUAGAUGAAGUCUUGUGAGGAUGAUGCACCAUAAUUUAAAUCGAGAUUAUGGAGCUGCUCCAUCAACUGAGAACGUCUCUCCUUGAAGAAAUCCAGCCGUGUCGUUAAUUCUACUAAUGUUGAGGAAGGCACUGUUGAAUGUCUUGUGUAAUCCAAAACCUGGAAACAAAGAUUAAAUUUCAAUGUAGAAAAUUUUCCAGAUCUAAGACAUCUAGAUUCAGCUUUUAAGCAACGGUCGUGUUGGGACGAGAGGACGAGAGGACGAGACAACAGAUGUAUUUACCUCUCCUGCUUUUGAAGUAGAAGGCAAAGACGCAGAAUCGACAGCAAGUUCAUCCACAGACAUGCUAGUUGAAACCUCGGUGCUUUUUGAGUCACUUGGGCUUAAUGAAUCCACAAAUAGCUUCCGUGGAGUUGGUUUACUACUAUUGGCAGAACCUAAUACUUGUCCUUUCAUAUUUCUCCAAUCACUUCCCAUCAAACCUUCCUGUGUACCAAAAAUAGAAACAGAUUUCAGUUUAAUUUAUAAGACGAAGAAUGCUAAGGUCAAAUAAAUUGGGAAAUUAAUUGUUAAGACCUUGAUCCGUAACCAUUUGAUUUGUGGUUUUUAGUAUUUAAAAUCAAGACUAUAUGCAUCCCUUCCAUCCUCGUUAUUUACUCUUCACCAAUGAUUUAAAAACAAAGCCCAAGUUUUGAAAACAAGAAAGGUACUUUCAAAAACCUGUUUUUGUGUUUGGAAUUUUGUUAAUAACUCAAUUCUUCCACUUAAAGAAAUAUGUAAACCACAAUAUUUAUUGAGAGAAAAUAGGCCUAAUUUUAAAAAAUAAAAAACCAAAAACCAAAAAUUAAAUUGAUACCAAACAAGGAGUAAGAUCCAAAUGAAUUAAGGCAACAUCAUACUCCAAAGUGGAAGUCAGAAGUAGAAAUACAUCGAAGCUAUUAUCUGCCUAGUUGAUAAAGCUAAACAACCAGCUACCUGAUAGAACUAGGGAAUGGAGAUGAAUUUUAUUCAAUGAAAAUAUCAGUUCAUUACAAGUACACGGGAUUGAUAGAUUAGCAAUCCCUAAACAGAAAGUAAUUGGUAAAGAACAAAGAAAGAAUCACCCUCCCUCACUGCCCUCCUAUCUUUCAAGGAUGUAGACAAAUGAUUAACAAAACUCUCAUAUCCACUCACGGACCUCCCUUUCACUAUUUAAACCUCUCUUCCCUCCAAUUAACUGUGGGUCCCAGCUCUAGCAACCACACUCCCCAUAACGCGUGCGCUCCCCUUAUUUCCUCUUCUACUAUACUGCCAAGUAAUUGGUGGCCUAACGCUACCUUAGUCUACCGACGAGAUGAAAAGAGUAAAUUCGAAAUCUAAAUGCUUUUGUGGUGGGCCGUGGAUACUUAUAUUACCUUGCUGAGUUUCCUUUUGGUCAAAAUGCCCUUUGGUUUUCUUACUUUGGGUUGCAUUCUAUUGCAGUCCAUGUACUUUCAAUUGUCCAAAACUUAGUCUCCAUUUCCAAUAAAUUUAAAUUUUUUCCUCGUACUUCAAUAAAUAUUAUAUUUAGUUCUCAAAUCAAGUAAAGCCCCACUGCAAUCUUUUCUUUCUAAAGUAUUAUCCAAUUGUGUCUUUUUUUUUCUCUUUUCCUUUUUUUUUAAAUCAUUGUUAAUAGUCAUUAAAAGACUAAAAUAAUAUAGAUAACAAAUACACUCGGUACGUGGCUAUGUCAUUGACAUCUAUGGUUCAAAACAAAGGAUGUUCUUUGCGAUUGUUUGUUUUGAUCGUUUUCUCUUGUAUUGGCCGAGAUCAGUUUUGGGCAGUUUGUUUGGAUGUUUUUGUCUUUUAUUAUUUUGCUCUUAGUAUAAUUCUCUUGUACUUUGAGCAUUAGUCUCUUUUUCCAUUAUUAAUAAAGAGGCUUGUCUCCGUAUAAAAAAAAAAGACUAGACAACCAAGUCCAUAAAUGGUUAGGCUUUUUAUCCACUCAUCAAAACAGCAACCCAGCGCAUAAGAGCUAAAUUGUUGAGCAACUAAUUAUGCAGUAGAGCAAGUGUAAACAUCCAAAAAAAAUUAUCCCUUAAAAGGUAAAAUAUAAAUGAAAAUAAAAGAUAAACCGAGUGCAACAACAUGCAGGCAUUGUCUAAGAAACAAUAUAAGAACUUUAUAUAAGAUAAUAGCUUAAUCAUACAAAGAAACGCAAAUGAUGAUAUUCAUUGGCUAACCAAAAAGAAAAAGGGUUUAUUUAACAAUGAAAGACAAUGGACAUGGAAGUAACAUGACAAAAAGAUACCUCAUUCCUUUGUUUCCUUUCAUGAUUAACAAAAGCAAGUGUCGAGUCAAAAUCUUGCUGAAGAAAUCUCCUGCGGGAAGUAAGACUAUUUGAGAGAAACGUAGAAAGCACUUAACUUAGUGACGUUUUAACUUAUUCAACGCUACAAAUUUAUCAAAGGAUUUAAUGUCAAUCAUAGAUAUAUGGUAAGACAAUGGGCUUUCAUUGACAAAGAAACGAAAAAAUGUACAAGGACAUACAAAAAGAUAAAUCCAAAAAGUAUCCUCAACUACUUACGAAAAAGAAUUCCAAACCAAAACAAUAAUGCUAAACCGAUAAUUUCUUGUUCGAAUACAUUAAAUGUCUAACAGAUACACACCCAUAAAGCAACAUUAAAUCUUACCACCUUCCAAGCCUCCUCUAAAGACCUCACCACUUCUCUAAAACCUCCCACAAGAUUCUCCCUUAUCAAGGGAGAGUUCAUCAAGAUCCUCUCAACAAUGAACACCCCUAUUUUGCACGACUCUGAAAAACUGAAGCAGCAACUCCAGAGGGAAUUAACUAACUGAAAUCCUCCUCUACCAUUCCACACGAGAUGAUUGAGAUCCUCCUCUACCAUCUACAAAGGAUACACCACGGUGGAUGCAAAACCAAAGUAGAAUACUGCUAGAUUUGAUUCUCAAUGUUUACUCUCCUAUGACUAAUCUCACAAGACAACUCACCUAACCCUAUAAUAUUGGACAUUAAAGAAACUCGUAGGAUAUUAAAUCCUAGGUAGGUGGCCUGGAUUGAACCCAUGAUCUUUUACUCUUUUAUCAAGAUCAUGCCCCCUAUUUACUACUAAGCCAACCCAUAAAGGUUAUGUUUACUCUCCCUUGUAACUUGUUAGAAAUAAAACGAUCUUAGGGAUUUUAACCUUCCACAAAUGGAACACUAAGUCAGCCAAAUGGGAGAAAGGGAACAAAAUAUGAAAAAAGGUGAUUGGAACCGACGACCUUUGAUGAAUUAGGAUCCCAAGCUCAUAAAUUCCUUCUCAGAGAUAAACCCUCAAAUAAAAAGUAAUAGAAAGAAAACCCACCAUCUCUAUAGACUCUCAAGUAGUGAGAAGACAACAAAAAGACCCAAAUAGAGUGAGAGGGGACGACUAAGAAAGAGGCGAAAAAGAGACAACCAACUGUGAUAGACAAUUGGUGGGUGAGAUAACUUUGACCUCCUAAACUUCAUGAAUAGAAAACAAACUUUCAUUAGUUCUCACUUGUGGAGAAACCAUUGAACAGUUUCUUCCACCUGCCCUUUUGUGAGAAGUGAGCUUUUUCGUGGAAAGUUGGAAUGUGGUAUUUUGUGGGGGUUUUUGGAACGAGAGAAACAAUUUAAUCCUUAAAGGAUAGGAGAGAUCUCCAAAUGAUGUUUUGUUCCUUGUUAGAUUUCAUGUUUCUUUUUGGACUUUAGUUAUGAAGUUAUUUUAUAAAUAAUCAUUAGGUCUUAUUUCUCGUGAUUGGAGCCCAUUCUUGUAUACUUUUCUUUUGUACUCCCUUAAUUUUUUUCUCAAUUUAUUUUAUGAUGAAAUAUUUUUUUAUAAAAAUUACAAUAAUAAUAAUAACACUCUGGUAACAAAGUUAUAUUAUAAAUACUCACUAGGUCUUAUUUCUCAUGAUUGAAGCCCCUUUUUGUAGGCUUUUCUUUGUACUCCUUACAUUUUUCUCAAUCUUUCUCAAUUCAUUUUACGAUGAAAUACUUUUUAAGAACAUAUAAUAAUAACAAUAAUAAUAUCAGGAACUCACAAUUGGGAGCCAUGAUUCUGAACAUGCUGAUAUCGGUCACAUGCAUCAGAUAAAGAACCAUAGUUGUGUUGGCGUUGCUGAUUCAACUGGUGGUGGAGCUCAGCAACUUUCUGCUUUAACCGAGCCACAUCUGCUUCAGCAAGAGCAAUCUCCUCAAGCUCAGCCCUUGUCUUCACAUCAGUAUAAUCAUGCCUCAUGAGAAUGAAUAUGACCAAUGGAGGUGAAAAAAAAAAUUAAAUGCCAAACAUGCAGACAAACCUUCGAAUCCAUGCCCCGUGAAUUAUUAAAUUGUCCAGAAGACAUGCUUAGGCCAACUUCCAGAGCAGCUCUAAGAUCUCUUUCUGCUUGCAAUUGCUCUUGUAAUCUUGAAACCUACAAGGUCAUUCAAACCCAAGAAAUGUAAUUUAAAAAACAAAUAUGCAUUUGUUAGAUACCUAGAUUAGUAUAGGGUUAGGGGUGCGGUGCAAGGGUAAUUGAAUAAGAUAGGAAGUUACUAGUAGUUAUUGUCUAAAGGUGGGUACUAGUAGCUAUUGUGUAAGUAUGGUUACUAGGGUGGUUACAACUUGUUAUAAAUAGAGGGAGGGUAAGUGAGAGGAGGGAGUAUCAGUUAUUUUCGUGUGUAGGCUGUGAAUCCUUGAGAGGAGUACAGAGUGGAUUGUUCUAGCUUUCUUACUGUAUUUUGUGUGUGUAAUUUCCAGAUUGAUAAACUAUCAAUCUGUAACUUCUUUUACCAAAUUGAAUAAAGAACAACUAUAUUAGUGUUCUAUCAGCAUUUUUGUCUACGUUUCCUUGUUAUAUAAAAAAAAAGAAAAUGGUACUAUAUCCACAUAAAUAACUUCCAAGCCCACUCCCAUCACCAAACCAAAUCUCACAUACUAAUAGUCGCAAACAUUUUCUAAAAGUAAUUUGAAAGAACAGUUUUAUAGUAUUAAAUAUAGCUCCUCUCCUAAACUAUACCAAGGAUUUAUUAGAAAAAUAAAGUUCAAGUAACAAGCAUUCGCCACCCUGAAACGUACAUCUUGUUCAAGUGCCAACCGUCGUUCAUGCAAAGCUUGUUUCCUUCUUUCCAAGCUGGCUUGUAAAAUUGCAUUGCCUCUAGCCUACACAAUAUGGAUAUUCAGUAAAUACUCUAAUCAACCACUGGAUCUUUGGAUAACAAAGUUAGAGAGUUUGACUACCUCCUUCGCAAUCCUCUGUUGCAGGUCAUUUUUUGUCAUCUCAAGCCUCUGAAUAGCAAGCCUACAAAAAUAGUUGAAAUUUAUCUUCAGGGAAUAGUUUUAGUUCAUGGUGAAGUAACAUUCAGAAGGUGAGAAGAAAAACCCGUGGAACAAACCAAGAAGUAAAAAUAUUCUAGAAAAAAAUACAAAAAAGAUGCAAUUUGUAGAAAACAAGCCACUUUGGUUAUCUACAGAGUUAGCUUUGCAUUCUUGCAAAAAGUCAAUUAAUGAAACUUUGUGCAGUUAUCGUGAUGAAUGUAGAGGAGAUAUUGUAACCUCAACUGGACCUUCAAUUGCCCAAUUGUAUCUUGGUGUAGACCAAGAGAGAUAUUAACCAAUUCAAAAUUACUCUAACCCAACAGACCAGAAUCCCAACUAAUCAACAUAUAAAUAACGACCAAUCCACUUGAAAAACCUUCAAACAGCGAAACAAAUAAAACAACCAAAUAAAAUAAGAGAUUUGUCAGAAAAUACAAUAAAGUUGUUAAAUAACUAAUAGACCAAAAGGCUUAAGCUGAUGGAUAAAGGUAAAUUUAACAUUCUCCCUCACUUGUGGACUUGAAAUAUGUGAAAGAUCCAACGAGUGGAAAUCAUAAUUGGUAAGGAAAUAGCAUUCUAGAGGUGGUAACACAGGACCUCCUAGACCACGUCCUAGACCACUUGCUUUGAUACCAUAAAGACACGUUUGUUUCUUCUUAUAUUUUAUGCAAAGAUACAACCCUCAGUUUUAAAAGGGGAAAAUCAUAGAAGGAAAAAUGAAUAACAAUAAUUGUUCUUCCAGAUCAUUAGUAGCCAUCUUCUACAAAUCAUGUUUUGCAGCCAUCAUUGAAAGACUCUUUGUCUACACCAUUGUACCGCCGUUGUUUAUUCCAUGUUUGUUUAUAGUUUUUUGGCUUUACAGCACAUGCUGACCAUACUCUAGAAAGACUUUAUUUUGUAUCUUAGGACUAUUUUUGUUUGGAUAUGAUGAUAGCGCUAAGAGGAAGUCAACCUAGUUGAGAUGUCCGGAUGUGUCUAUUGAUCCUAUGGUCUCGUUAUUGCUUAGCUCUUUGUGUAAACCUUUUUAUACUUUGAGCUUAUUAUUUAUCAAUAAAGAGGUUGGUUUCCUUUUCAAGAAAAUAACAAUAAUCAUUCUUUCUCAUCUUGUCAUUUAAUAAUUUUCUGUUUCAUUUUAGCCAAAAGUCCAAAAGGUGAAAAUUACAAAACAAGUCAUACACACCUUUUAACAUGCCAAACCUCAUUCUUCCAUAACAAUAACAUAAUUUAUCCAUCUUCAGUAUGAAGAAAACGUAAAACGUGUGAUGAAUUUAAACAGCCAAUUAACUUCAUCAUAGAACUUAUUUGACGAGCUAAUAUGCAAAAAAAAAUUCAGAUUGAGCUCAUACAGAUCGCAAGACACAAACAGAUUUCAUAUAUGAAGGAAAAAGCCAUUGAAAUCUUACUCUUCUUCUCCAGAAGAAUCUACCGACUCAAUAGAUGGCGUCUUUCUGGCCUGCAUCAAAUAAAAUCAAGAAGAUCAAGUUUUAAUUUAACAAGCAAAGAAAUUUUAACAUUCAGUUCAAACUAUAGCACAACAGUGCCUGUAAUAAUAAUAACACUGGUAAGUAUUAAGGAUCCUUUUUGAUGAGAUUGCCUGCAUCAAUGAUUAAAUAGCACAACAAAUAAUCUUUGUCCUAGCGGUAUUAUUUGCUUCCUUUUUUCCGUUCUUUCUUUUAUAUGAAAAAUCAAGCUUUUAUCAAGAACAAUAAAAGAAUAACAUCUGUUUAUUUGUUUUUCUAACUAUGUGGUUCUAGGUGGGAAGCAGCACCUCAACAAAACCUAAUCAUAUAAGGAUACCGCACAUGUCUCCACAUUAUAUCUCAAAAAACUCGAAGGGAGAUUCUAACCUAAGACCUCAGCAUUUGUAUGUCAAAUCCUUAAAAUCCUCAACCUCCUCAGUAGGUGAGGAAUCUCUCUAUUGUCACAUUCCAUGUGGCAGUUGGCUACUGAUGCGUUCAGGACUCCUUGAGCACAGAAUCUAAUCGUCCUUCCCAAAAGAAGUGAGCAAGGACAUCCAGAAGCAUCAUUUGAACCAAAAAGUUCGUCUUUUUUUCCUUGGACAAUGAUUCAUGAUGGUUCAAAUGCAUGGAUCGUGUAGUAUUGUUGUGGCAAGUGCUUAAAGGGCUCAUUGAGGACUCUCUUCCAGGCCGUUUGUACUUCAUCAAACGGGUAAGAUAUUAGCACCACCUUUUCAUGAGCUUCCCUUGAUGUCAAGCCUAUGGAGAGCCUUUGCUACUUUUACACCUCUUGGCUUUCUAUCGUAGCUUCUUGGAAUCUGGCUUAAAAGAGAUUUGUAAUUCCUUCACUAUGUCUUCUUCCAACUAGAGAGUAGAGAGAUUCUGUUACACACAUUGAAGUUAGGAAGCCUUCCCUACCGUCUGUAUAUUUUCAUCCUUUCAAUGAACAUAGAUCUCCUUCACUAUGUUUUCUUCCAACUAGAAAAAGAGAGAGCUCUGUGAGGGAUUCCUGAAGGAUAGUCUUAGAGACAUAACCGUUUUGUGCAAAUUUCAAAAGCCUGAGGUUGAACCUAUAAAAAUGAAAGAUGGAAGAUACACAUCUUAUUGGUUUGACAACUGGACAGGGGAUGAUGCCCCCUCAGCAAGAGUUUUUCCAAGCUUCUCACCACUGCAGAGUUCAAAAAAGCUUCUAAAACAGCUUUUGUGUCUCGACUACACAAUUGGAGAAGGGUAGAUACAGAAGUACAGAAACCCAUAGGGACAAUAAAACCUACCAAACUACGAGGCUAUUUUAAAGAGGAUACGGAAAGAGUUUGAUUGUUGUUAUAAGUAUAAGCAGAUGGAAAGUGGUAGUUCUCUAAUGACAGACAUUCUAAAAUGUUAGGCCUUCUACUAAUUAUAGUUUUUGUGAUCUAAAGGUUAACUGCAGAAAUUUUUUGUAGCUACUUUGACAGACUUUCCUCUUUUGCAAUUUAUAUAUAUAUACAAAUAUUAUACAUACAUACAUACACACACACACACACACAUAUACUAGAUUCACUUCCAGUUCUAGUUUAAUAUUCUUCAACUGAAAAAAAGAAAACUUACACUGCUCCUUCCCCAGAAAGUUGAUCUCUUAGCAUUAAUAUUAGAGCUUGAAACUUUACCAACUGGCUUCCCAGAACUUGACUCAUUUCCAGGAUCCAUUGAAUUUAAAAUUUCUCCCAUUGAUCGGUAAGAUUCGCCAGCAAGUGAGAUAUUCGGAGUUUCCACCUCAGUCAAAGAAUUUGCAUUUCCUUUCUUUUGUUUGGUUAGGUCCCCAAUCGGUUGAACAUUGGUCUCAGAGUUCUUAUGAUGAUCAAGACACGAAUUUGAACUCUGAGCUAAAUCAUGAUUCUCUCUUGGGGAUCCAACAUCCGAAUCAUCUCCUCCAAAAGCCUGUUCAUGCACAGAAAUUAGAGCAUGUUAAUUAGCAUUUCAUUCGUCAACAAGCACAGUUAUUCAAGCCUCAAGGAAGAGAAACAAAUAGUCCUGAAAAGAACAGCACAAAGUUCCAUCAAUUUUAUAUCUUGUGUGAACUCAAAAUUAAUAGAUGAUAAGUACGGUAACUAAUACGGGCUUUCACUUUUGUUCCAUUUUUAUCCGACGUACAGGUCUUUCACUAGAGAGGGUAAUAGGCAUCUGAGGAUAGAACUGAAGCAGUGAAUUAACUUGUGGAAACGCAAAGCUAUCAAGAUCUUACAUUAUUGAAGGCUAUAAAGCUGGCUAAUAAAUCAUCGACAAAAAGAGCUCAGUAAGAAUCCCUAAACUUCAAAAAAACCAUUCUCUAGUUACAAUUAGAGAAAUUCAACUUCCUUCUUCCUAUCAUUAAGUGUACAAAAUGAAGCUUCACCAAUAUGAUUGCUUUUGUUUUUUAUAAGAGUUUAACCAAUAGGAUUGUUGAUUGUAGCAAGAGUUCCAUUCUCUAACAUUGUUCUUUAUAGGAAACAAAAAAGAGGUCAACUUUUUUUUCUUUUAACAAGGAACAGCAUCACAGUGAUAUAAUCAAAAGGAUUAAAUGUUCAAGAGAUACAAACUCUUCAAAAUCAGAUUUUAAAAACAUUUAGUAACAAAGAAGAAGAAAGAAAAUGAAAAAACAUAAUGAAAAAUUUUGAAGAUCAGAAAUCCAACCAAGAAAAAAGAAAGAAAUUAGGAUAGUUGAUUGCUAAAUAAAUGCUAUAAAUUUCAAGUAAAUGUUUUUUUUCCUCAAUUUAACAUAUGAUGCUUCCUACAAAUCUCUGCCUCCAGACCAAGGAGAUUUUGAAUUUUGCUUGGUUUUAUUUCCAAACCUUUAUAAGAUCAAUAAUAUGCCUCUGUUUCUGAAAAAUUAAAUAAAUAAAUAAAAAUUCAGUAAAAUUUAACCAACAAAAAUGCAGUGUUUCAAAAGUAAAUGAACGAGGACAAAGAUAGUGCAUGCUCCAUGCAUAUGCAUUACACACGCACACACUGAGAACCUUAUAGUCAUAAAGAUCACUUCCAGCAUAGCCACUACUUUCACUCAAUUUCCCACUAAGCACACGCUCGGGAUCAUCAUCUGUGUCUGGAUCAACCCCAUUUUCCACAUUGUGAUAGCCAUUUCCUUUCACAUCAAGAUUUUCAUCAUCAGUGGAGUCAUCACUUCCACUAUUUUCAAUCUGAGAAUCAGCUGAAAUUGAGCAUCUGUGUAGAUUCUCAUCCUGGAAAUAAAUCAAAAAAAUAAAAGGGAUGCAUAAUCAUAGAACAAAAAAGUUUGAAAUGCAAUUAAUAGAUUAUUAGACUGUUUUUCAAUAUUGUUAUCCAACUACUAACAUGUUUGUUUUCCCUCUACUAGAACAAAAAGAUUAUAUGUUGAAGAUUCUUUCGUUUAAUGAUGAACUCUAUAUGGAAGGAUAUACCAGCGUGGAAUACAGUCCAUCCCACAAGGAACUGAAACAAAAUGAGAGAAUGCAAAAAAGAGAAAAGAAAAAAAAAAAGUGGAGAGCAUCUUCCAACUUGGCUGAAAUCAUUUCAUACAAAGAGGAUAAAGCUCAAAACUAAUACGCAGUCCUCUAUCGUUAAGAAAAUGCUUAGGAGGCAAAUAUCUUACAUCAAAAAUAUUCUCAAACUCCUCCAAAAGUGUUGUAACAAUUGCUUGGGCAUUAUUCGCCGCAUUGGCAGCAGCUAGCAACUGGGCAGAGUUAUCACCACUUACAUCAAACUCAUCUUCCAACUCACAUUCACCAGCUAAUAAAGGCCGUAACAGCAAAGGUGCCAUGCAAGCAGCAACAGCAGAUGGAGUCAUCCGAUUCUCGUGAGCAUGAGAAGAGAUGGUAUGCAUCAUCUUUAAAACUCUGGCAAGAGAAUGAAAACAUCAAAUUGACAUAUUGGGAAAUGCAGCAAACAUAGGAAGUAGCAAAAUUUGCAGCACUAUUUAAAGAUAGAUGAUUCAAGUGAGCCUAACAAAGUACCAAGAACACAGAAAGCUUACAGCAAAAGAAAUAAAUAACUAAAUUUAAAUGGAAAAACAAGUUUUGAUUGAGAAAAAAUUAAAGAAAAAAAAUACCUAAUUAGUAAUUAGGACAUGUAUAUAUACUAAGCCGAAAUUAGAGAAACAAGAUGAUUCCAAGCAAGAAACAAACCAUAAGCGAAAGAUCAUUCUUACAGAGGCAAGUGCAUUGGAGCUAUCAUAAAAUGCAAGAAUGUUAUAAAUUAUAAUUCUAGAAUGCAUAGCAUAAGAUCAACCGUCUACAAACUGUUAUUAACUGUGAUCUUUAACUUCGCAGGAUGAAGAAAAACAAAAUCAAAACCAAGAGAAAAUAUAAAAUAAAUAAUCAAAAUUACAAAUGUUGAUAAGGAUGAUGUGGGACACGAAAAAAAUGCAGAGAACAGGGAAUAGGGAUCAAUGAAGACAUUUUGAGUUGAGACCUGAGAGAGAUCAGUUGCUAAAUAAGACGUGUACUAGAGCAUUUAAAUGUUUAGACAUUAUAAUAUUAACUUAAAAUUCACACCAACCUAAAACAUACAUUCAUUUCAGGUUUUACAAACUGAAUACAUAAACGUCUUUUAAGGCAACUGUUCUAUUCUAUUCUUAAAUUACCAGUUUCCGUUACUACAUACCAAAUGCCCAUUAGACACUUGCCAUAAAUUAAGAUUUCAAUGACUAAAGAGAAUGAGAUGAUCGGCCAAUUGGUAGACCAAGCCAUGAAAGCCUUUCCUUCAUCAGUACUAUUUGCAAUACGAUUUUUUUUUAUAAACACUUUUUGCAAUAUGAAUAUGUCACAAUAAAAGAUUCAAAAAAUUAAUUAGAAAGAAGUGCAAUUACAGAUUAACAUCUAACCUUUGUAAUAAACGCCGGUUUGGUUCAGGAAAAGUCUCCAAUAUAGAUGAUCGCAUGGCAUUAAUCCGUGCCUCUUUUCGAUCAAUUUCUUAAACAAUAAGAACAAUAGUUCAAAUGAUCAAUCCCAAUACAUUUACAUUUUAUGGACAAAAUUAAAAAUAAAUAAAUAAGCCAAAAAGUGAUCAUCCCUGAUUUAAGAUGAUUUGUUAUAUCAUCCUCUACUUUAAAUGACGAAUUCUCUCGCAUUCUAUCCACAACUUAUAAUUAGCUCCACCAGAUUUCUCUUUCACACACAUAAAGUUUCAAAGAAUUAUAAUGGGGUUAGCAAACUUACUAUAAGCUUCAAGCAAUGCAGUGCAGCACGAAGCUGGGACUGGUGAUGAUGGAAGCUCUCUUAGAAUGUGCUACAUUUUCAAAUCACUCAUUAAGGGGUUGAAAUUGUACAUAUAUAUUAAAUAUCAAAAUAUCGUUGAAAUAGUAAAGGAAAGUACCUUGAUACAAUCACCAAUUACAUGAGCAUCCUCAUCAGAACCAAACUCUGUCUUGCCUGGAAGAGACAAAGCAAAUUAGGGCAUGUGUUCCAAUUUGACAUGCAUCUAGUUGAUAGCAAAUGGAUCAUCUGCAUAGUUGUUGGUCUACUUAUUCUCUCCCUCAUUAAUUAGAAACAAUUAGAUAAUACCUUGUUCAUAUUCUUGUACUCUACGGUCUACCUCUUCAACAUCUGCAGAUUGCCGCAAAAUCCCUUCUACCUUAGUGCCUGAAAAGAAGUUCAAAGUAAUAAAAUUGAUUUGACAAUAUGUCAACAUACCACGUAUUAAAUCACCAAUCAACCAAAAAACUUAGAUGGAAGAAUUACAGUAAAUUUAAUAAUAUUACCACUUUAACGCUCCCUCUCGCUUGUGGGCAUGAAAAUUUGUAGAAGAACCAACAAAAGGAAAUGACAUAAUAGAAUUCGAACACAAUACCUCCUACUCUUGUACCAUGUUAAAUUACCAAUCAACCCAAAAGUUUAAGUUGAUGGGUUAUGGUAAAUUUAGUUAUAUCAAUACUUUUAACCCCAAGUUUGCAUGUCUGCAUCAUAAUCAGCCAAGAAUAUCUUAUUCUAUAACUUAUUGCAACUCCAAUUCUCCAUGCCUUGUUUUGUAUCUCAUUUUAUAAUUUAUUGUUUGGUUUGCCUGAAAAGUGUUAAAUAAAUCAAAAGUGAUGUGUGUUUAUAAUACACAGUCUUAACUCAUCAAAUUCAUCUGGUUAUUUGAAAAUGAGUCUUUGACUGGUUUCCUUAUGAAGUUAACAUCGCUGACUUCCUUCUUUGUAGCCCCUCGUCCUCUUUGGUGCUGGCCCACAUUGAUGUAUUUUGUGCAGUAGGCCUCUUGAUAUUGUCUCGAUCAUAUUUUUGUUGUUAGUCUAUAGCUAUGAGAAUAUUGGUGCAGCAUUUGAAGUUCUUUGCAACUAAUCCAUUCUCAUGCCUCUUCGUAGGGAAUUGACACCUCUAACUUUUUUCAUGGGGAGAUAUUGACCGAACAUUCAUCAAAUCUCUAUGGAGUUCCAGAGGUAUUGAAUGGACUUCCUUGGAUGCUAUUAGAUCCUCAGGUGAUCUUAUUAUCAUCUGGAAGGUAGCAUCCUUCCCGGUCUCAUCUAUAACCAAAGAUGCUAACAGUCCUUUUCUAUAGCUGAUGGAUUCAAUUUUUGGUUAAUAGGUGUUUACAAACCAUCUACUGAUUUUGAAAAGAAUUUUUUCAUCCAAGAACUCCAUGAUCUCUUCAGCCUGGUGGAUGAAAACUGGUUUAUUGGUGGAGAUUUCAACUUCCUCAGAUGGCCUCAGAAAAAUUCCAACUCUUGUAGACCUACUAUAUAGAUGUCUGCCUUCAAUUCUUUCAUAGAACAGAGGGAUCUUACUGAUUUGCCCCUUCCAAAUGACAGUUAUAUUUAAACCUGGACAGACUUUAGAAAUCUACCUACUCAUACCAAGAUUGAUAGAUUCCUGUGCACAGAAACUGUGCCGAACAAAUUUAGUGAUGUGAUGCUUUUGUUAAAAGGCUUGAGCGACCCACAUCAGAUCACUUCCCCCUUCUCCUUACACUUGGUAAACAACAAUGGGGCCCAUCACUUUUUAGGUUUGAAAACAUGUGGAUUGGUUGUAAUAGUUAUCUUCCUUUUGUUGAAGAUUGGUGGUCUUACUAGCCACACGUUCAUUAAAAAGCUUGAAGGGAUGAAAUUUGCUAUCAAGGAAUUGAAUCAACAGAUCUUUCGGAAUAUUACAUCUCAACGAGACUCAAUGAUGAAGAAACUGUCCCUUAUUGUUUCAAACUUUGAGAAGGAUCCUUCACUAAGACACGCAUUGAUAGAAGAAAUUCUAUCAAAGAGCAGCUUCUUUCCAUCAGUGCUAAUGAGAAAAUGUGAUAGACAGAAAUGUAAAUCCAUUUGAUUUCUGAAAGGUGAUAAUAGCACAUUCUUCUUCGACAAAUUUGCUGCUGCCAAAAGAAAAGGAAAAGCUGCAUAACAGAAAUCCUAGGCAUUAGUUUACUCCAAGAUAUGGACAUUGAAGCUGAAUUUAUUUCUUUCUACAAAAACAGAUUCUUGCCUCAUCCGAGUGCAUGAGUCCACACCAAACAGAAUUGCCUCCUUGAAGCUCCUUUCGCCGAGGCUGAGAUUUUGCUCUCAGAUAGCGUCAAAUAUUUCCUUUUAUCAAUAAUAUUGUCUCUUAUCCAAGAAAAAAAAUCUUCAUGGGUUCUUUUGAUGCUCAGCCCACAUUGGUGUGCUGAGCCAAUAAUUCACAAAGGAUUCCAUCAGAUUUUCCCAGUUCUUUUACUGUAAACAUUCAGAUAUUCUCGGAUCUUCUUUUGCUAUAAACAUUUGGUUGAACUAUCGGAGUUACUUUGGAAUGAUUUGGGAUUUUCCUUUUUGAUGGAUCCUUUAGAAUCAUUUAGGUUCUGUGUAAGGACCCUGAUGGAAGAGGUUCCACACGAACCUUUACGUAAGAUUGGGAAACUUCUGUGACAGGCAAAUUUCUUUACCAUUUUUUGGAGUAUCUAGCUCAACAAAAUAGGAGGUUUUCUAUGGUGUGAACAUGGGAAGUGGUUUAGAGUACUUAUUUACUAUAGUGUUUUCCAUAAGGUCAAAAGAGAAAAGGUAAAGUGAAAUGGCUUUUCAGGACUAUGUUCAGCAUUUUCACCAUUGGUGUGUAAUAGUAUGCAAAAUUUGGUGUGAGACGAUGAUUUUGGAGUCGGUCUAGAAUUUUAGACUCAUUGUUGGCCAAAAGCAACAAAAUUGUCCAAAUAGCUGAAUAGCUCAAUCUUGAUUCUAGAUGGGCAUGAAAUUGUAGCACCAAAUGAUGUUUUACUUUUAUCAAAGCAUUUUGAGAUGCUAGAGUACUAAAACUCAAACCAUUGCUGUUAAUAAUCAGAAACAAGGGCAGCUAAAUCAUUAUUACAAGAACGUUUGAAUUCCUUACAACUUGAUAUAACAAAUCUAUAAAUAGAAAUAAAAUAAUAAAAAUUCAAAAGAAACCAACUGAGAAUAGCACGGAUUUCAUUAUAAUUUCAACAUAGCCCCUUACCGAAUGUUUCAAGAAACCGAAGUGCCUUCUCAAGGAAAGAUGGACCUCCAUCAAUAUCUUCCAAUGCAAGUAAAAUAGGUCUUCCCACCACCAAAGAUUUAACAGGACGCUUAUCCCUCCCUGGUUAUAAUUAAUGGAACAUUGAUGGAUCAAGCAAGCAAGUAUAACACGCAUAUACCUACCCCAAGCAUUUGAAAAGGAAUCAACCAUCAUAAUGAACAGGUAAUUGCAAGAUGAAGCAGAAUACAAACAUGGAUGAAAAGAGCUGUCAAUUUUGUCAUUAGUGUCGCUCCGAAAAAUCCCAUUAUGUCCCAUGACAAGGGCAGCACUUGGUGCUUGUGCAAGGGCUUGUUCGAGUGCAGUUUUCCAUUCAAACAGAUCAUCUGAGGUUUCGGCCUUUUCAUGUGUGAGGCACAGGAACAGAAAGACCAGAUUAAUAAAAACUUCUAGGAAACAAAAUAUUCUUUGCAGAUAUGAUAUGGCCUAACUAGAGUACCUUGAGAGUGAAAGCUCGUCCAUCACGACCAUCAGGAAACAAUACAGUCAAGAGCUUCUUAUCCUCUCUAACAACAACACUACAUGAACCAAGUUGCAUGCUUAACUUCAACUAUAGCUAAUAAAAUUUGAAAUUCACAUUCAUAUAGAAAAACUUACCUCCCUGAAUUAUUCAAGUCUAUGCCCCCCAAAGUAAGAUUUACUUCACCCCCUCUUUGAGGAAGUGCACUCUAAAUAGAAAAUAAGAAAAGAUAUUUCAGUUGAUCUAAAUCCAUCAUGCUACAUCGUUGUCUACAUUUGAAGUUAAUGCAGCUAACAAGUGAAUGAAUCUUAUACAAGCAACAACAUUUAUCGGAGCAGUCAAUGAACACUUGAUUCAUCAGGAAACAAAUAAACUAAAUAACAAAGGGGGGAGAUGUUAAGCAAAAAUAUGCAGAAUGUUGCUCGAAGGGCCAUCCAAAGUACAAAAUAGAAAAUCUUCAAAAGAUUACCAAGUCCAAACCCACCAUUGUCUCAAGGAAAAGAAACUGUGUAUCCUCUUAAAGAGGUGUCUAGAUUUCUCUUCAUCAGUUUGAAGAUCCUCUUUUCUUUCCCGAUUUAAUCCCAUUUUUAAUAAUAGGAGGAAGUUGAACAUGUAAUGGAGUGGGAUUCCAGAUGAGAUCAAUUACUCAAUCAUCUCUGUAGGGCGAUCACUCCAUUUAAUUGGUUUUUCCAAGGUCUUUUCCUAAGCAAAUGUCUAUAAUUUAGAAGAGCUAUAGUUUCCACCUGAAGGGGCCAUCCAACUGGGUCACAGGCUAUGACUAACAACACAAUCAAGAAAAGCAAUCAAUUCUCUAGUUCUUUGUUCUCUCAAUCUGAUACCCAUUGGUAAAGAUUUCACAACAUCCAUCUUCAGAAACUAAGGCAACUUGAAAGGUCCUCAAACUAUGAAAGAGUUGUACUAUUGGUUGCCUACGAGAAAAUUGCAUUGUGUUUAUCUUUCAAUCAUCCAACUUCAAACAUUAAUUGCAAGAAAUCUUUAUCUUUUUGUUUUGUUUUGUUUUGUUUGAAUAAGAAACCAUUUCAUUGAUCAAUUAAAUAUGCAAAAAAAACAAAAUGAGGCCAUAAACGGGAUAAGAAAAGAUUCCUCCAAUUAGAUAUAAGAAAAUUAAAAUUGUAUCUAGAGGAGCUGUAAAUUUUUACACCAAACAAGGGCAUUGGUCAUGUUAAUUAUCAAACUGAUGGAGCUGAAAUCUCUAACUGCACAAACUGGCAAACAAAAAUUAUUACAUUAUUACAUGAUCAUGCAAUAAUUCAUAAUGUUUCUCUAACCCAAAACAUACCCUAUCAUGAUCAUCGAAAAUACAAUAGAUGAAAAGGAACAAGGCAUAGAAUGAUUAUCCAAAAUACCAAAACAAUAAAUAAAACUAAAAGGAAGAAAGAAAGAAAGAAAGAAAGAAUGAGAAAACUUUAACUAUACUAACAGGAUCGUUUUUAAAGAAUACUAGGGAAGUGCGUGUAAGGAUGAACCAGCGCUUCUUCCAAGAUUUCCAGCCUAGUCCUGAACAAAUAUAAGAACAUUAGCAAAAACACUGAGAAUGAAGACCCUUUCCAAGAGAAAUAAACAAGCGAGUUUAGCAUUAUAGCAUAGGUACUAGAGGAAAAUUUUCAAAAAUAUACUUAGAGAACAAAUGAAUGAGCUAUCUAUGCAAAACAAGCCCUAUUUUUGAAAACGUGAGCAUUAGCACAAGUUCAAUAACGAAAAUUUUCAGAGGUUUAAAAUCAAGAGAAACAUGGUGUAAGAUACGGUAGGUCGAAAUGCUAGCAUGUGUCCCAAGAUUGAGUUUGAAGCACCAUGUGGGUUAUUUCACCGAAGAGGAUCAUAAUAGCUAAACAUUCUAACCCUUGGCUUACCAUAGCCUGGAGGAAAACUCAACACAAUUAAGAAUAAGAUAUAAAAGCAAAAUCCAUAAAUGCAGAAAAUAAGUUCAUAUUUUUGCCAAUUGGGAAAUUUUGUGUGAUCCCCUUGGCUUGAUGGUGACCACUCAUCUACCCCUUUGGUAUUCCUCAUUGAUACUGAAUUUCAUGUUGCUUGCUCAAAAAAAAAGAUGGAUAGAAAAUAGUAGUAAGAGAUAAUCAAGGAUGACAUCACAACCUAAGAAAUUAUUCAAAAGUCUGAUUAUAUAUUUAACAAAAAGAAAUUAUAAAUGAAACAAGAAACAGGAAACAUAAAUUUUAAUUCAUGGUUUAACUCGUUUACAAUGGUGCACAAAGAAAAAUUGUCUCAAAUAGUCGCUUAUUUGUACAGUUGACAGUCACAUCAUGUACAUGAUUAUAAUAACUCUCAAGAAGCCCUAGUGAAGAUAAAAUUUUGAAGUGAUGGGGAAGAAAAGAAGCUCCAACCUUUGGAUGAUAUAAAAAGCGGGCCACUCUUGAAAACCUGCCAGAUAGAUGCAUAGUUUAGAAAUAAAGCUGAAUAAUGGGUGCUACACUACACCAAUUUUGCAGGGCACUGAAUCAAUCAAAUGGAAAAAAUAACGCUUAAACAUGAAGCUGCAUCUUUCCCAUGAUUUUGUCAUUGAAUCUUUCACAAGUAUAACGUUAUCAAGCAGUGUGCAUUGAAAACUCAGAGGUAUCUAACAUUACCACAAUCUAUAUUUCUUUCCAAAAAGCGUAACUUAGAUGAAAAUGAAUAAGAAGUCGACACAACGGCUCAUAAGCAAAGCCUUAAAUACGAAUCCAGCCAUUAACUUAAUGCCUUUUUUCUGUAAUUACCAGUUAGGUUUUAUUAUCCUAGAUUGAAGUUUGUUUCUUAGUUAGUAUUGGGACUCCUUUUGUGGGGGAGGUUUUCUCCCUAUCUGCUUGUAUAUUCUUGCACUUUUCCUAAUGAAAGCUAGGUUUCCUAUUUAUUCAAUUGCAUCUUUUGAAUUUGAAAGCUUGGUUUAUUCCAAGUAGGUCAAAUUCGAUUCGAAGUGAAAGCCAAAUAAAUCUUCAUGAUUAUUAUUGAAACUGAGACUCAAAUAGAUGUGACAUUGUCUCAGUUUCAAAAAUAAUAAAAUAAAAUCAAUUUCUAUGUCACAUCUUUUCGUGGGCUUGCCUUUUCCUUUCUUUCCUUUUUCCUCAUUGAAAGUCAUUUCUCAUCCCAGAAAAAAAAAACCUAUGGCUAAAACAAGUUCAAAGGGUGUAGGGGAAGAUAAAAUAUCAAGCAUCAGCCCACUUUAAGCCAAAGGAGCUGAUAGAAGUUUAUGCUAAAUACAUGUUUACAAAGGUGUCAAUUUUCCCCAAACAUGGCGAAUUCACAUUUCUAACGGGGGUGGCAACAAUCCUCCCCAUUUUGAUUUAUGGAGAUGGGAAGUGGGAAAAGAGAUUGCAAGUCCCAUCUUUCUAUGCCUUUUGAUUUUUCAAUAUUCUGCCACCUUCUCAAUAGGACCAAGGAAAUAGCAUUGGUUUUAGUACGAUCAUAACAAUUUCCCUUUUGAUUCUGGCUUCUCUAGCCCUUCUGUUUUUUUUUUUCCUUUUUCGCUUUUUUGUUGAUAGAAAACCAAUUACCAUUGACAAAAGAAAUGAAAGAAUACAGGACCACAAAAAAAACUAAGCCCUCAAAAAGAAGCACCCUCGAAGAAGAGUUUCAAAUCUAACAAAAUAAGACCUAAGGAAUAAUUGCAAGAAGAGCUCAUCACAAACAUCCAGAAAGAGGUGUUAAAAUUAGCCAAGGACCAAACAUCGAAAGGUCGUCUCGCCCCCCCUCAAAAGAUUCUACAAUUUCUCUCACCCCAAAUAGCCCACAUCAGUGCACACACUUCGAUCUUCCAUAAAAAGCCCCCUUCCAUCCAAGUGAUGAAUGGAUGUGGAACUCCUUGAUCAAAACACUAAAGUAUCCACAACGGCCUAGCUGUUGGUCAAACAGUUCAAAGAAGUUGUUCCAAACCAAAGUGCAAUUGCGGAGUAAGCCAAAUCUUUCUCUACCCUCUGACAAAGAAUACAACAGAAAGGCCCAACCAAGGGCAUCUUCCUCAAGAGUCUAUCCAAGGUGACUUUUUCCAUGAAUAACCUGCAUAUAAAGAUUUAUAACCUUCUUUUGAAAUUUUCACCUUCCAAAGAGCAACAAAAAAAGAAUUGACUCUUCGAAGGGAGAGGGAUCCAAUAAUUACUUUAUCCAAUCAAAGCAACAAAGAGUUGAAUCUCAGUGGAUCGCGGCAACAAGGCCACUCCGUCACUUAAAAUACCCUCUCAAGUAUUUUCAAUCAAAAUUGUGCUUUCCAUAAAAAAAUUAUAAAAGAAAUACUCUAUCACGUUUUUAAGUCAUUUGCAAAGGAAUCUAUCCAUCGCUCGGUGGAAAUUACGUUACAAGGCAGCCCUCACGACUCAUUCAUCAUGAGGGCUUAGCCAACAACACGUGCCUUUGGGGGGGUCUAGUAAAUACUUAAAGAAAAAAUUACAAGAAAACCCUUAGAAGGUUUAGUACUCCAACAACAAAAAUCAUUUCUCCCUUGCCCAACCGUAACAUUCCCCACUAAAGAAAUGAAUCUCAUCAAUCUUUCAAGUCUUCGUUCACUGAAGUAAAUUCAGAUCUUUUGGAAGUUUCCAGCUCUCUAAUCCAAGCUACCAUUUGCAUUACCAAGCAAGGUACUUUGAACUCUCAUCAAGAGUGCGAGCGAAAUCCAAGCAAGGUGCAAUAUGGGAUUGUUAAUCCAGAAGAAGCUGACAGUCUUGAUGCUCAAGAAGCUCUUGAAGAUUCUGAGGAUGUCCGUGGCUUGUUUGUGGAGGAAGGUUUAGAAAAAGAACAACCCUCUCUCCAGAAAUUCAGUAAAGAAACACCAAAGCACUUGCAUGACAUCAUUGAAGCUUGUGGUAUUUCUUUCAUUUGAGUUCUUUAAACUUUUUCUCCAGCAUUGUAAUUAGUCUUGGAUGAGAGAGUGCAUUGAAAGUCCUUCUCGAAUUAAAGGGAGUUGGGAGUUUUAAAAAAAAUGGUGGUUAGGAAGAAGAUAAAGAAGAUCACCCCGGUUUUGGUUUAGCUACAAAUAUCAAAAAGUAAAGUUUUAUUCCAAAUUCCUCAAUUCCUUGCGAAGAUCUUUUGCUCUUUUGUUGCUUAUGAACCACUUGUAAAAAGACUUAUGGAUCACAUUUGAAUAUGGACUAUAUGAUCAUAUAGAAACAACGUAUUUGACUAGAACUUUUUCCUUUAUCAAAGUGGAGGUAAUUAAGUUUGGCAAGACGAUUUCUAGCAAUCAGUAUGACUUGCGAAAGAAGAAGAUGUUUAGCUGUUUAUCAGAAAGCAGCUUCCUGGAAUUUCGUUUUUGGUCACUGUUUAUCCCCUUCAGUCUGCAUUUAUGCUCUGCCGCUGGUGACUCCUUGCAGCUCCUGUUUGUUUUUUCUCAAUUGUUUUGUAUUAUUGUCAGAAUUGUGCUUGGGAAGAUUCCAGAGAUAUUUUCAGUGCAAGCUUCUUAGCAUAAGUCCCCAAUGGAGUCACCAUUUUUCAGCCUCCUUGUGGUGUUCUUUCUCCAAUGAUCUCGAGUUUGCCUCGGUGCGAGUUUUUGGUCGUCUUUUAUUUAGAAGGAUGUUUAGUCUUGUGUUUGUAUUUGUAUUUCUCUAAACUUUGUUUUGUUUGUUUUGCCUUUGGGCAUUGCUCCUUUGUUAUGGGUUUUCGUGGUUGGAUAUGAUGAGGGUGCUAUGGGGUGUCAACCUAGUUGAGAUGUCCAGGUGCACCCCCUGAUUGAUGGUUACAUGCUCAUUGUAUAAUUCUCUUGUACUAUGAGCUUUUGUCUCAUUAUUAUUAUAUUGAUAUUAAUAAAUAGGCUGUUUCCUUUUCAAAAAUUCAAAAAAAAUUAUGGAUCAAGAAGCCAUAGUCAAUCCAUUCAAAUAAAUAAAGGGGGAAAAAAGACAAGAGCGUAUUAAAAAUUAUGAAUUGAAGACUGAAACUUCGAUUUCCAUCCAAAUGGCCAAAUAGGUACUGUUUGAACUCCAAAUUUUAUAACUCGAACCCAAAUAUUAAGGAAGUUAACAAGAUUGAACUGAGGAUGUAUUCAUAAAAGAGCUGAAGACAAUCUACGGCUAUUAGGCAAAUAAACAAGAGAAACUUAGUUCAAAUUUCACUACAGUAAUCCUAAGUUGAUCCAAAUAUUUACUUAACACAUUUACUAAAAUUAUUUAGAUUAAAAAACUAAAUGGUUGUGUUCCUUCGCUUCGUCAAUUCCGACCUUAAUAUAGUAUACUCUGAAAGUCAUCAAUUUCUACGGGAUUGGACCUAUAAUGCUCUUCGUACAUUGUUCCGAAACAAAUGAAAACAAAACAUUUCCCAACUAGUCAAUCCAUUAAAAAAGAAAAAAGAAAAAAAAAGCUCACAAAAUCAACUCGCAGCAUACAUCAAAUCCAAAACAAAGUUACCGUAUUCGAAGCCCCAGCUCUGGGACGCUCAAAAGCCGCCAAUGAAGCAGACAUUCUGACCGAUUCACUCUGAAGCUACGGCAUCGAGAGCACAGCCAAUGCAAGUAACCAAAUCACUCAAACCGUUAAACAUUCACCCAAAAAAACAAGUCCGAUAGCAAACCCCACUACUCCAAACACAGCAAGCAUCGAUUGCCGCACACACGACCACAAUGCCAGAUCAGAGAACAGCUCUAGCAACGAAUCAGUAAGAUCCAACAACCAAAGCAAAAGAAAACUGAUCCCUAGGGCUAAGAUUUGGAUAUAAACAUGAAAGCAGAGCACCGAAACACAAAACCAAUCACCAUCUCAUUUCAACUCCAAAUUUCCCUCCAUUUCUCACCUCCUCCGAUUGGAUUGAAGGAAAUUCCGAUGAAAUUAAGAACAACCCUCCAAUUUUGCUCCCUUGAAACAAAAUUUUUGGCACAAACUUCUCCUUUUCGAUUUUGUAUUGGAUUAGGUAGAUAGAACAAUAGUGGUUGUGGUAGUAAUAUGGUAAUAGAGAGAGAGAGAGAGAGAGAGAGAGGGAAAGAGAGCUUUAGAGAGAGAAAGAGAGUUACUUUGCUUUUCACCUAAUUUUGGCCGUGAGGAAAGAGAGAGAGAGGAAGAGGGAAUUUGGACAUGGAAGUGGCGGUAAUGUUACUCUGCAGUCGUGUAUAGUCAAGUUACGGUCAAAGUGAAAAUGAAAGCCAAUGAAAAUUCGCCACGUGUGAAUAAGAUUAUAUUUUGAAAACCCCUUUAAUAUAGGCUCCAAUUAUGGAGGUAAUUUAGAUUUAUAGAGUAGAAAGACCACUUUGUGCUAAUUUUGUCAAAAUGAUUUGACUUGUGAAGCCUAGUGAAAAAAAAUAGUGGAAAAGGAUUUUUUCUUUUUCGUUUUUAUUUCUUUUUGUUCUUUUCUUCAUAUUUAGUUAACUUUCCUUUUUUUUUCUCUCAACUCUUAAAUAAAUUUGAAGUCUUUCUAUGAAAAUUCUGAGUUCGUAAUUCCAUUAUUAACUCCUUUUCUUUAUGUUUGUUUUUUACGUGACCAUUUUUUAGGUUUCAAUACUACUUUUCUCUUUAUAUUUUUAAAUUAUUUAUUUUGUUUUUUUUACUUUUUAACUUUAAUUUAUUUUAAUCUAAUACCUUUGAAUGAUUACUAUUAUUAUAAUUCAAAUUAUAGUAAUUUAAACAAUAAAUACAAAUUAUUAUAAUUUAUAACUAUAAUAACAUCACAUUUUUUAAAUAUAUAUUUUUUUAGAAUACAAUGAUUAAAUGAACUAAGACCCUCAAAAUAAAUCAAAAUGGAAAAUGGAAAUUUAAAAACACCAAUACCAAAAUAAAUUAAAAUUGGAAGGAUGACAACACACCAUAUUUAAACUGUUUUUCUACCGUUGUUAGUAAUUUUUAUUUUCAAUUUGUUUCAAAAGUUUAAAGUAAAAGGGGAGUGAGGAGGAGUUCAAAUAAUUGAAAGAAAAAAACAUAGCAUUUAUAUUUAGUGUAAAAAUCUAUUUCAACCCUAAUUUUUAUAAUCAUUUCUAAGAUAUUUAAUUAAAAAGUUAAUUACUUAAGUUUUAUUUGAGUAGUUUACUUAGAUAUAAUAUACAAAAUUUUAUAUAAUAGUAAUUAUAAUAAUCAUUUUUAUUAUUGAUAUAAUUGUUUAAAAAAUAAAUAAUGUUAAAUUACAAAUUUUGUCAAAAUUCAAAAUGCGUCCCUACAUUUUCAAAUGUGUAUAAUAAAUCAAUCAAAAAAAUUCAAAAUCUAGGAAAUUAAUUAAUUUGCAAAUCAUUUAAAUUUGGUAUUCGAUUAAACUCGCAAUUCGUGUAUGAUAAACUAUUAAAUUUUAGAAAUAUUAAAGUUAAUUGACUAUAUACAAUCAAUUCAGAUGUUUUCAAAUAUAAUAAAUUAAACUAAAAUAUUUAUAAGUAUAGUAAAAUAUCACAAAUACGUGUUAAUAGACUAUGUAUAUCUAUCAUUGUUAGAUUUUAAUAUCACAUAAAUUGUAAAAUCUUGCUAUAAGUAGUUUUACCAUUAGUAACAAUUUUAUUUUGUAAGUUUUGAAAUAGCAAGUUUGAUUGUGUAAUCAUUUGUCUUUUUAUUUUUAAAAUCUAAUUAUAUAUGCUCUAAAUCGUGUUUAUCAUUAUUUAUUUUGUAAUCAAUUUUUCUUUUAAAUCGAGUUAAAUUUAAACAGAACUAAACAAAUAUUUUUUAAAAACUUGUUUUUAUUUUAGUAAUAUGGCUAAUAAUUAAACUUUUGUAUGUAAUUUAUAUACAAAUAGUUGUAAAUAAAAUUUAGAGUUGGGAAAUAAUAUGCAUAUUUUUCGAAAAGGUAAUUAUAGAGAAAUAAGUAACAAAUUUAGGAAUAAUAAUAAAAUAUAUAGCAACAUUUAAUAAAAUUUAAAGAGCCAUAGAAGUAUAUGUUGAUAGAUUUAUAUGGUUUGUUAAUAAUAAACUACUAAUGAUAUAGUCAAUAUUGAUAAAUCACAAGAGUUUGUUCCGUGAUAGAAAUAUGCUAAUAUUUUAAAAAUGAUUGUUUCAUUUGGAAUUGUCCCUUUUAAAAAACUACAAAAGAAAUGUUACCAUAUAAAAUCAUAAUUAGGCAAGCAUAAAGUAAUACAACCUAUGUUUCAAUGACUUGCUAUAGCACAUGCUCAAUCAACUCAUCAAUAUGAUAUUUGAGCAUUAUGUUCUCGAAGUGUGUAUUCUCAUUAUUAUAAAUCAAAUCAAGUGCUUUUAAUGUUUUGUUUAAAAUUAGCAAUGAUACAAAUUAAAAGUAGAAAUAAGUGAAAUAACUUUUAACAUAGACAUUUUUGUUUAUGAAAAUAUAACUAUAUAAAACAAUGUCCUACAAAACUACUACACACACAUUCAAUGAACACCCAGUGUCCUACAAAAUCUAGCUAACAUAUAAUAUAAAAAAAACAAAACAAAAUACAACCUUUCAAAAUUAUUGUUAUUAUGUCAAAAAUGAAUUUGAUUAAAGAAUACAAAUGAAUUGAGAUUAAAUCAUUUGUUAUUGUAAAUAAAAUUAUCAUAUUCUCAAAUAUAGUAAAAUAAAUAAAAAUAUUUGUAUGGUACAUCGUUAUAAACUCAAAUGAAUUAUUAUAGAUAUAACACAAAUGACAGUCUAUCAUGAUUUAUAAUAAAUAGACGGUCAUAUUUUAAGUAUGAAAAGUGAUUUGAGUUAUUUUAGAAUAUUGGAAUGGUUUUCUAACAAAUAAUUUUGUGAUUACUCUCUGUCAUGAAUGGUUGUCCAAGGAGCCAUCCAAAAGGACUGAAGUUAAAAAAUAAAUCGAAUUUUGGUUAAAGGAAUCAGCUAAAUAAUGAUAAAAUAAUUGAGUUAUCUAGUUAUUAUUAUAUUUAUUAGAAACACCUGCAAAGUUCAAUAAAUAUAUGACUAAUAUGUUUUAAAAAAUAAAUAUAUAAUCAAUAACAAUUAUUUUCUCUAUCAUAUUUUAUUCUGUCGUUUUUGUUUAAAUGAAAAGCAAGAAAAAAAAAUUAAAAUGAGAGUUUUUAUUGAUUUUGCUAAAUAAUUUUUAUAUUUUUAUAUUUUAAAAAUGUUUAUCUUUUUUAUUAGGAUAUUUGAUAAUGAAAAAUUGCAUCCGAUGAUAACAAAUUUAUAGUGGUCUCAAUAUGCACGUGACGAAGAAAGUGAAAUAGCGUGUGACAUGAAGUAAAAUAACUCUAAUCUCCAUUUGCUUAAUUUACACCUUAAACAUAACGUGAACUAAAAUAAUUCACUCUACUCCUCUGAAGUCACUCCAAACAAACUUUAAAAAUUAGUACAUUCAAUGACAUUAUAAAUAUUUAAAAUUAGAAUAGAAAGACUAAAAUAAAAUAAAAUCGUAAUCAACAAUAUGUUAACCUUAAAAAUAAAUAAAAUAAAGUAACAUGACUUCGAGAACAAAAAAAAAAAGCUAAUCAAAACGAAAGAGUCACUCCAACGGCUAAAAGAGCACUAGAGUAUCCACAAUCUAGGGAGUGAGUACGUGGCAACAUAUCAAUGACUAGACGUCCAAGAAACUCAGUAUCUAAAAGGCAGAGGAUUACCACCACACUAAAAAAUAGAACUAAUUAUUAAAAAAGAGAAAAUAGCAACAAUAAUUACAAAGAAAAAGUAAAAAGGAAAAAAGAAAGAGCACGCGCGAAGCUACAGCGCGUGAGCAUCACAACAAAUAAAAUGGGAGUGGGACCCAGAAGUCAAAAGCAUUGGAAAGCGACGUUUCAGUGAGUUGCCUUGGAGCGCAAGGGCAAGAGCGUGAGGGUGAAGCAAACCACACGGAGAAAGGAUCCAUUGUUUUCUUUUGGUGGUUAACUGGCUUGGACGGUAACCGGUCAGAUGUCGCUUGUCCAUUUCGGUUAAAUAGCCAAUAAAGUUGCGCUUCACGUUUUUGUCUUUUACGGUUCUUGCUACCGGUCGUACCUGUCAACUUUCAUCGUUUAAAUUAAUAAUAUGAAUUCAUUUCUCAUAUUUUUGUUUACGACUUAAAUUUGAAUUUUUACCCUUAAACCAAUUUUAAAUUUGGGUGUCACGUGUCCGCUUGCAUAUUCAAAUAUAUUUUUCUUUUGGUAUACAUACGUUUGUGUAUAUAUAUAUAUUUCAUUUGGUUUUAGUAAUUACAUUUUCAAAAUUUUAAAGUUACUAUAACUGUACUUGAAUAAUGACAAAAUUGCUAAAAUCUAUAAAAUUUCAAAUACCAAUAUAUUAAUGUCUAUUAAAAUUUGAUAUUUGAUAAAUAUUUUUAUUUAUUUUGUUAGAUUUGAAAAUACCUCUUAAUAAAAUUGAGUGUUUAAGUUAAAAUUUAUCAAAACUAGUUAAUAAUAAAUUUAAUGCAACAAAAUUUUAUAAGAAGAGGUAACAAGAGCUGAAUUGUUUUAAGUCCACUAAUAAUAUACUAAAAUAUGAGUGACCAUUUUAAAAGUAAAAAUAUGGAGACUUGCCUACAAAAUCAACCAUAAAAUAUAUCUAACGACAUAACUAAAAUAUUAUAAACUUAACUAACGUUACUAAUUCAUAGUUAAUUAAAUUACUAUUUAGUAGAUAAAUAUAUCAAUCAUUAUUCUAGAGGUUGAUAGUUCAAUAUCAAUGUCACGAUUGUUAAACUUUGAUUGGAGAACAGAAAAAAUGUUCAAAAUUUUAACCUAUUAAAGAUUCAAAUAUUUGAUAUAUAUACGCACACGAUCAACUAACAUCAAAUAUUUGAUAUAAAAAAAUGAAAUAUAUGUGAACUAAUAUUGAAGACCAGGACAAGUCAUAAGAGAAGUUGUCCUAUGACUGUGUGAAAUUAUGUAAAUUAUAGUAUUAGAAUUAAAAUCGAAGCAUAUAAGGUCAACGAAAUGAAAAGUUCCAACUAAAAUCCUUAGAUAUAACUUUUGUAAUUUAUUUAAAAUAUUGUGAGAUUUGGUAAGGUGUAGGUGUGAGAAGGAACAUUCAAUCCCAAGUAAACAAAGAUAUAUGAAGUUAAGUUUGACAAGAGAGAGGUUAGAAAAUUUAUCUUAUAACCCGGGUUAUAAGGUGGUGGACUUAAUUUUCACUCCUUGUUUAAAUUUCAAAUAUUUGAGCGGUAGUCGAAUUUUAAGUUUAAUUUCAAUUUAGUUGAGAGAUUUUAAAAUAUUACAACUUAUUUGUUCGUAUUUGAAUUUUUGUUUCGAUAUAGUCCAUAAAUUUUAAAUUGUAUACUUUUAACCUUAAUAGACAUUAAUAUCUAUUGAUAAAUCUAAAAUAGCUAAAGUAAAUUUUAAAAAUUUAUUUAUUCAAUAGACAUCAUUCUUAGAUGGAAAAUUUAGUAUUGAGUGAAAAUUGGAAAAUUUAGUAUUGAGUGAAAAUUCGAGAUUAAAAGAGUAAAUCUUCAAAAUGACAAGUAAAAAAAAGUUAAAUCUUCAAAGGUAAAAUUAAAAUAUUUUGAAACUUAAAACUAAAUUAUCAACCUUAUUCUAUAUUUAAGAAAAAUUGAAUCCCUUUUUCGUUUUUAAGUUAAAAAAUUGUUCUUAAGAUAAGAUGUUAAUGGUGGUAUAUGAAAUUAUGGUUAUGCUAGUAUUUAAAUUAAAAUAAAAGAGAGAUAUAGAUUUUUUGUGGAGUGUUUUAAAUGAGUAAAAUAAAAUAAAAUAUUUAUAAAUAUAAGAAAAUUUUAGAAAUUAUUAAUUAAAAAAGUUUGAAUUUUAUUAUAUUAUUAAUUUUGAAAUAGUGGGAGGGAUGAAGUAGUGUGGGGGCGGGGCGAAGGGGGAAGUGAUUAGGAAUUUAUUUGAGAAUUAUUUUAACAAGGGUUGUUUAAAAUUUAAAACGCAACAGAAAUUAUUAUGAGCAUUGCAUAUUAGUAUUUAGGAGAAGGAGUUUCGUACUGUGCACGAUACAGCUGUCAAGAAUAAUGUUACCGCUAUUACAUUAUAGUUUCAAUAAUACUCCUUUUUCUUUUCUUUUCCUUUUUUAGCUCUCUUAGACGUAUUCUCCACUCUCUAUUAAUGACACCGCCGUCCUAAUUUUAAUUUUGUAUAUAAUCAUAUAAAUAUUGUUUCUUUAGAGUACAUAGCAAUUGACAAAUUGUUUUAAAUGGUAAAUUUGUUUGUUCAUGGUAAAAUUCAACCAAACGAAUUCACCUUAUGUUUACAUGCGGCCAACGAAACAUUUAUAAUUUGAAGAAAAAAAUUACUUACAAAAAUAAAAAACACAUUUUUGUGGUGGUUGUUAGUUAGUAUUAUGCAUAGAGUGAGAGCAAGUAGUUUUCCUUUUAAGGAGGAGUUAGUUUGCUUUUGUAGAGUUGUUAUAUUUAUAAUGAGAUUAUUGUGCUCGGCCUCAACUUCGAUUGAUGAGGCCGUGUCGAGCAAACAAACCACUAAGGCCCAAUUUGUCUCAACUCAGCCUUAGCCUUGCCCGAUGAGGCCAAGGUGAGGCAAUGGAUUGAAGAGGCUCAACUAGUCUUGGUCUCAGCCUUUCGAGCCAAGGUGGUUCAAUUAGGUUAUGGCCUCAUUGCAUAUUUUCUCUAAUUUUUUAUAACUAAAAUUAACCUCUUAGUCUUAAAUUUUCAUUGAAUGCUCACUUUUUAGUCAAAUAUGAUAACAUUUAUAAAUUAAUUUAAUAUAAAAAAUUAAAAUGAGCUUUAAGGGGCUAUUUGGGGGAAAGGUUAUUAUUGUUAGAAAAGUCUGUGGGCUUUUGGCCCAAUACACAGUUACCUAUAAUGUUGUCUCACAUUGAUACAUUUGGGAGAGACAAAUGUGUAUAAAUAGUUAAGUGCCACUAGAGAAAUACAAUUUGUGUUGAUGGUGAUAGUAUGACCUUGUCAUCAUGCGUGCCAUCGUUGUCCAUUCGGGCAGGCUCCUCAACUGUAAAACGCCCUGUUGGACUAUAUUGAAAUAUAAUUUGUUCUAAGACUCAAGAAGUUUGAGUGUCAUUGUGAGCUAAGGUGGGACGACAAAACUAGGCAUUUUAGCUUGUGACGGCGGCCAAAGACACGUUAGGCAAGCAAGCUAGGUGACCAACCUAGUGCAAUUUACCUCUAAAGAAACCAUGCGACCAAGCCAUGUAAAGGGCAUGUGGCUAAGGGUGGUAAGGAAGGCUAGGCGAGAGAUGCAAAGUCAGACAUUUAAGAGAUGUUAAGAACCUCUAAAGAGGUUAGCAUGCGACCAAGGAACUCUCACACGAGCUAGGCUAUACGACCAUGAUAAAGCAUGCUAUAAAGAAAGCUAGGCGGCAAGAAUUGUUUAGAGAGCCUCUAAGGACAAAGGCUUUGACAACUAAGAGUGUCUAAAGCAUUAUGGGCAAUAGGAGAAGUGGAGUACAAAUGCGUGACAUGCAAGGCACCUAGUUUUUGCUAAGUAGGGAGGUGUAAAGUGAUCAACGUGCGGUGGAAAGUGACAAGUAGGAUGUGUGAAGAGGUUAGUAGGAAGUGUCACCAAGAAGUCAUGCAAGGAUCUCUAUAUAAAUGAAACUUUGAGUGAACGAUGUUCACAAUCCACUCGUUUCAUUUGGGUAAUUUCACUUGAAAAAUCUUUUAAAUUGAGUCUAGUGUCAAAGGUAGAGCUACCAAACAAAGAAUACGCGAGGAAGGGAUGCGUUGAAGAGAAGAAAUCCAUAAAUGUCAUUUUAAAAGGAAAUCUAGAUAGUGUUUGAGUAUUUUGGAGCUAUAGAACUCAAUACUUGAAAUCUUUUGCUAAAAUUUGAUGUUACAAUAGUUAAGACAUAUCUAAGAAAAUUUGUAGAAGGAAAUUUCUUGAUUUUAGUCCUAGGUUUUUAGUUAUUAAGCUUCAAAGUUGAGUAAAGACUCUGAACUAAAAUUCAAUUUCUGGACAAGACUCAAAGGUGGGCUGAGUGUUAGAAAGAUAAGGUAAGAUAGACAUGAAAAAUAGACAAGAGAGUUUAUUUGGGCCUUGAAGCAUGCAAGAGGCAUGCCUAGCACACAACCAAGCGACGUGAGGCAUGUGCCUAGGUCAUGCAGGCUUGCAUGCUCGCACAAACUAGGUCAGUCAUGAGCAACGCAUGACGCGCGACAUAUUUAGCACAUGCAUGGUUGUGCAUGCAAACAUGCAGCGUGUGUGACGUGCAUAAUCAGUUUGCAAGGUUAGCAUGCGAUCAAGCCCCUGGGCUUGCACUUGCACGUGCAGCCGUCUGCUCAUGUUUUGCAUGCCAGCCAACCCACAUACCAUUUUUUUGUGUUUUAGCAAUUUUUACUUGGAGAUUGGAUAUUUUUUAAAUUUUGGAGACUAAAUGGAGUAUAAAUUGCCCUAUUUUCAGGAUAAGUGGAAUUUGGAGAAUUUUUCUCAAAUAAGAAGAAAACCUCAAGUUUGUGAGUAACAUACACAUUUAAAUGGUUUAUAAGAAUAUUUCUAAGUUUGAUUUAUUAGGCAUGAUUUCAAGUUUCACAAGCAAUAGUUUGUGAGUGGCUUGCAUUUAAAUGUUUUACUUAAAUGCUUAAGAUUUUCAAAUUGGAUUUCAAACUUCUCAAGUAUAGUUUGUGAGUGUCUUGCAUGUAAAUAUGUUUUCAUUAAGCUAUGGUCAUACUAUACAAACUACUUCUGAAUAUGCACAUAGGAUUCUCAACUACUAAUGUGAAAGCUUUAUAGAGGGGCAUAGAGCGAUUACAUCAGUGAAGGCACAAGUGCCUAUGAGGAAGGUUCAACUUAUACUGACCUAUGUUAAACUAUGAAUGUAUAACUAGAAGCUAGUAUGUGAUAGCUUAAUGUAUUUAUGAAUGAUUAGGGAGUUCUAAAAUGUUUCAAAAGUUUGAUUAUAUUAAGAUUACAACAACUUAUACGUUCAAAAUCGUGCAUUGAGCAUAACUAUUUGAAAAGUGUUUUAGAAAACCAUUACUCACUGAGCAUUUUUAGUGCAUUCUUUGAAAAUAAUGUUUUCUCACUUUUCAAGUAAUGAUCAGGCUUCCUUGAGCAGGUCAGUAGGGUAUUCUUGAGGAAAAUACGAUAUUAGUUGACUUCACGCCGUCUCUCGAAUCGAGAUUAGGUGGUUCAGAAGGGAGUGCCACAUAGCUUACAUAUAUAGUAGAUUAUUUUCUUCAAUCACUUUAGUCAAACCUUGUCUCGUGCAGAUCCAAAUAGCGAGUGAUUUUUUAGAUAUCCUAUGCUUGAGCUUGCAUGUCCCUUAAUUUUCAACUUUAUGUUGUAAGAGCAACAAACUAAUUUUUCCAAUGUUAUUUUCCCAAAUUGGUUUUUUUUUCUUUCUCGAAAAUGAAAAUUUGGACAGUGAAAGCAAAAAUCAACCCAAUUAAAUUUCAAGAUGAAAUAAUGAGAAAAUUCGAUGGAAAACGUUUGAAUUAUGUUUAGGAUUAAUAUACGUUAUUUUUUAAAUUUCAAUUCAGUAAAAAUAAAUCUUUAAUUAGAGUUUGAGAGAAGAAUUUGAAAUAUGUUGAUAUUCAAAAUUGAAAAUUAAAGGUAAUAAUGAUUUUGGAACACAUCCAUAUUUUGUCAAAAUUUUAGAAUUUACUAAAUUCAAGUGUUCAAUUUAAUAAAUUGGAAUAUGUUAGACUUUUGAAAAAAGAAAACAAAUUGUAAUUGGAAAUUUCACGUGGAAAAUUAUGUAUUUUGAAAUAAAUGAAAUUUUUGAUAUUUUUUUGGUGUAUCCUUUGAAAUUUUGCCAAAUAUUCAUAUGAUAUUUCGAAAUAUCUAUGUCUACCAAUUUUCCUUUAAAUAAUAUUCGCAAAACAAUAUAUUGCCAAUAUUUCAAUGUUACCAUCAAUUUUUUCAUGAUAAAAAGAUGUUAACCCUGUUAUCUUUAUCGAAAAUUCCGUUUUGGUGAUAUAUUGCGCUUUUUUCAGUCCUUGAAUAAAUUACGUCCUGGAGCAACAUUUAGAUAACACAAGACUUGUUCCAAUACAGUCCAAUAUUCAAUUGCAUAACAUAACAUGUAUUGACUCAUAAUACUCAACAUACUAUGUUUUGUUAGUCAUUAUAAGAUAAUUAAGCUUUCCUACAAACUUCGUAUAUACUUUUAAAAUCUUUUAACAAUUCUCCAUAUUUUGUGAGUUGUAAAUUGUACAUCAUCGAGGUGCUGCAUAGCUUAGCCCCCAAAUUUUUCGGAUUUAACCAACAAGUCACCUAAAUAUUAUUUUCUUACCUCUUAUUACUUUAAUUCCUAACAAGUAUUUUAACAUACACAAACCUUUCUUAUGAAAUUGACUACGGAGAAGGUUAUUAGGGACUCCAUACCUAGAGCAUCAUCAUUAGUAAUCACAAUAUGAUCAACAUGUACAAUUAAAAAGAUAACACCAUUGAAGACCUCUUGAAAAGUAUUGAAUGAUAUGAUGUGCUCUUCUACAUUUCAAAGUUUUCAAUAACCUGUCUAAAUUUUGUAAACCAAAUCUGGGGACUUUACUUUUUUUUUUUUUUUUUACUUCUUGGAAUAGAUAAGCUUAGGCGCUUUUCUUUAAUCCAUACAAAAUUGUUUGAAUGCGACAUACCUUCAGCACAUUAUGGUGGACGCUCCAUGUGCUCCUAUCUCGAAGAUCACCACGAAGAAAUACAGUUUUAAUAUCAAGCCGAUGCAAAGAUCCAUGAUUGAUAUUGAAGCUAGUGAAAUAAACAACCUCACAAAGCCCAACUUAGACAUUAUAAAAAAAAAUCAACAUAGUCAACGCCAUGAGCUUGUGAAUAGCGUUUGGCUACGAGGUAUGCUUUUAAUCGAGCUACAUAACUACAAAAUUGACUUUAAUUGAAAACACCCAUUUUAUAACCAAUUGACUUCUUUAAGAAGAUAAACUAAAUUCCAAGUACAACUUAAUCUAAUUAACCCUAAAUUUUAACCUAAUCAAAAUUAAGUUUUUAAAUACAACUAGGAUACGAAAAUGAAACCAUAUUUUGUAUAUUUUUUUUCUAUAGCAAUUCAUGCUCACUUUAUUUUAGAAAGAGAUACGCAACAAGAAGAUUUUGGAAAGAAAUAUGCAACAAUAAAUGCACACGGUCAUCUCUACUAGGUAAUCACCCUUUUAGCAUCCUCGUCAUUCUUCACGUAGAUCCCGUGCUUACAAAUACACCUAAAUGCUAAUUCAACUAUGUUAAAAUUGAUUUGGAAGACUUAAUAACAACUUUACUGAACCCAGAGCAAAAUAGUUUUAAAUUUAACUAAAUAGAUCAAUGAUUUAAAUUAUCCAAUAGCCACACUUUUUUUUUUCUUUAAAUUUAAGAAAAUGGUUUUAAACCUCACCAAAUAGUAUCCACUUUCACAAGCUGCACAAACCCCGCCCAAUUCUCUUGCGUUUCGAAAAGAGAGAAACUUCGGUCCUGUAUUGCUUCAAGGUUCCUCCAUAAUUUUGAUGCUUCGUCUUGCUCCAAAUCUUCUUCGCAAAAUCUCAAGCAGCCCCAUUUCCUCAACCCCUUUCCAUCGUUUUUCCCUUUCCACAUUUCUCAACCUCGAUCUGUUACAGCAACAAUUGCUGUUACGCUUCAUCACUGGCUCUGCUUCCAGCCCUAGCCUCUCAAUAUGGAGGAGGAAGAAGGAGAUGGGCAAGGAGGGUCUGAUUGUAGUCAAAGAACUCAAGAGACUUCAGUCCAAUUUCAUUCGCCUCGACCGCUUCAUUUCCUCCCAUGUCUCUCGCUUGCUCAAGUCCGACCUUGUUGCGGUUCUUGUUGAGCUUCAGAGACAGAAUCAUGUCUUUCUCUGCAUGAAGGUAUGCCCUCAUUUACUCGCUUUAUUAUUAUCUCUCUUCCCCUUUAUGACAUAUGUUGAAUUUUCAGCUCUGUUAAGCGACAUGAGAAGUUAAUUAGUUUCUUGCUAGUGUAUUGGUUAAUUCGGAAUUGCCGUAAUUGGGAUGAAUUACGUAUAUGGGAAUCAUUUUUACCUUAGCAUUCACGGAUUGGAAAUGACAUAGGUUUGGUUUUUGUCGAUUUUUCAUCAACCUUUGUGUGUUUUUUAGUAAAAUUCCCGUUCAAGUAUUUGAUGACUGCGUUUUGAAGUAGUCGAAAGUUAUGUGAACUCUAGAAGCGUGGUUGGUGAAAAUAGAUACGACUAUGGCAUGCGAACCUUCUUUUAGCUCAAUUCAAAUUAGGAGUACUUGCUUGCAUUAGCCUUUACACUAUGUCUGUUUGAAGUGAAUAGAAGUCCCGUUGAUUGAGAUCAGGGCUGAAAGAUUUUCUUCUACAGGCUGGGUGUACUGGGAAUUUAAUAUAAAAGAACGGCUUAAAUAAGUAGGCUAAAUUAUCAAAUACCAACCGUUAUUGAGUUGAGACUGUGUAUGUGAAUGGAUAUAUUUCAUGUUAUCUGUACUAGUAGUAAUAUAGGAAUGGAAAUAUUUCAUGUUAUCUGUACUAGUAGUAAUAUGGGAAGAGGGAAGAGUAGUGAUGCAAAGUUCGUCAAGUUUCAAUGUAUUGAAGUUAUCUUGGGACAGGUCUUUAAGGAAAUGCCUUCCUCUCUUCUUAAUGGUGAGAUUCCCUACUUUGUUCUUUUUCCUACCAAGAAUUUGUUUCCUAUUGCUCCUAAGAUAUUUGGUUGUGUCUGUUUUGUUCGUGACGUUCGUUCUCAUCAUACUAAGUUAGAUCCCGAAUCCUUGAAGUGUAUCUUCUUGGGCUAUUCAUGUGUUCAAAAGGUAUCGGUGUUAUUGUCCUAUCCUUAAAAGGUAUCUUGUUUCGCCUGAUGUUGCAUUUUUUGAGGAUAUACUCUUUACCUCAUCACCAUCGAGUUCGUGUCAGGGGAGGAUGACAAUCUUUUUAUAUAUGAGGUUACCUCUCCCACACCAUCCUCUUCCACUGAUGCGCCUCCUUCCCGCCUGUUGAUUUCUCGAGUCUACUUUCGACGACCUCCACCUCAACCUUCAGGCUCAUGUCCUCCAUCAUGCAAUCUGAGGCUAAGUGAUGAUCUUCCUAUUGCUCUUCACAAAGGUAAACGCAAGUGUACUUACCAUAUUUUUUCGUUUGUUUCUAUCACUAGUUGUCUCUCCCCACAUAUGCUUUUAUUACGUCUCUUGACUCCACAUCUAUUCCUAACUCUGUUCAUGAAGCUUUAUUUCAUCCUGGAUGGCAAAAUGCAAUGAUUGAGGAGAUGACUGCUUUAGAUGAUAAUGGUACUUGGGAUUUGGUAUCUCGUUCUGCAGGAAAGAAGGCCAUUGGUUAUAAAUGGGUGUUUGCUGUCAAGAUGAAUCUUGAUGGAAUCGUGGCUUGAUUGAAAGCUCACCUUGUUGCCAAAGGUUAUGCUCAAAUCUAUAGAAAUGAUAAUUCAGAUACAUUUUCUUCGGUUACCAAAUAAACUUUCAUCCGCUAUUUCUUUCCAUGACUGCUAUCCAUAAAUGACCUUUGCAUCAACUUGGCAUUAGGAAUGCUUUUCUGCAUGACGAUCUUCAAGAGGAAGUUUAUAUAGAGCAACCACCUAGGUUUGUUGCUCAGGGGGAGAGUGAUAAAGUAUGUUGCCUUCGAAAAUCUUUGUAUGGUUUAAAGCAGAGUCCUCGUGCGUGGUUUGGUAAGUUUAGUCAAGCUCUUGUAUGAUUUGGUAUGUAGAAGAGUACAUCUGAUCAUUCGGUUUUCUAUCGUCGAUCUGAUAAUGGUAUAGUUCUACUAGUUGUAUAUGUUGAUGAUAUUUUUUUUACUGGAAAUGAUGCAUCGGGUAUUUCGUCUCUCAAAACUUUCCUUCAGGGUCAGUUUUAUACGAAAGAUUUGAGCCAAUUGAAAUAUUUUUUGGGCAUUGAAGUGAUGAGAAGCAAAAAAGGUAUUUAUUUGUCUCAAUAAAAAUAUGUACUUGAUUUGUUGUCUGAGACAGAAAAAUUAGGAGCCAAACCAAGUGGCACUCUGAUGAUUCCUAAUCAGCAACUUGUUAAAGAAGAGAAUUAUGUAAAGAUCCUGAGAUAUAGGAGAUUAGUUGGGAAGUUGAACUAUUUAACAGUGACUCGACCAAACAUUGCUUGUUCUGUAAGUGUUGUAAGUCCGCUCAUGUCUUCUCUUACAGUAGAUCAUUGGGCUACAGUAGAGCAAAUUUUGUGUUAUCUGAAAGUUGCUCCUGGACGUGGGAUCUUAUCCAAAGAUCAUGGACAUACGAGAGUUGAAUGUUUUUCUGAUGCUAAUUGGGGGAGAUCUUGUGAGGAUAGGAGAUCAGCUUUUGGAUAUUGUGUCUUUGUAGGUGGAAACUUAGUAUCAUGGAAGAGUAAGAAACAAAAUGUUGUUUCUCGUUCGAGUGUUGAGUCAGAAUAUAGAGCUAUGGUACAAUCUGUGUGCGAAAUAGUGUGGAUUCACCAACUAUUAUAUGAGAUAAGUUUCAGCAUUACAGUGCCAACUAAAUUAUGGUGUGAUAAUCAAGUUGCACUUCACAUUGCAUCUAAUCCAUUAUUUUAUGAACGAACUAAACAUGUAACUUCAUUCAUGAGAAAAUCUAAGAUGGAUUGGUGUCCACAGGAUAUGUGAAGACUGGAGAACAAUUGGGAGAUAUUUUGGCUAAAGCUUUAAAGAUGGAGCAAUGAUAAGCUAUCUGUGCAACAAGUUGGACAUGAUCGACAUAUUUGCUUUUGCUUGAGGGGAGUGUUAUGAUAUAUAGUUAUAACACAUGUCCUUUAUUGUAAUUGUACACAGUGUCUAGGGGUUAUUUUUCUUGUUGAAGAGAGCACUACUGGGUUGGGGAAUAUACACACCAGUUGGAGAGCUUUCAAUGCGAAGGACGAAAGCGUCGUCUAAUGGUGGAAUCUUAGAGUCAGAGAGAAUCUGUGCCUUUGGCAUUUCAAAUUCAGCUAAGAGUCCAUUCAAAAAGAUCAUAACAACCAUCUUCUCUCGUUGAGCUUGUUGAACUUUAACAACAUGACUAAAAGGUAACAACAAGCCAAGCUCGACAGUUAUCUUCUUAAGGCACUUAAAGUAGUUGGUAACAGACUUAGCUUUUUGUUCAGCACGAAAAAAUUUCAUACAAACCUCAAACAUUUUAUGUACUUGCUCUUUACUUGAAUAUAAAAAAUCUAAAAAUUCCAGAAGUUCUUGAACAGACUCACAAUGAUCAACCAAUCCAAUUAUCUCACUCUCAAUGGAGUUUUUGAUCUGAAGAUAUAAACGGGCAUCAUCACGAAGCCAAUAAUUUUUCUGCUUUGCAUCUUCUGGGAGAUCUUUGCUCAUAUGAUCAUCCAUAUUAGUACUUCUCAAAAUAGAACAAAAUUGUCCGACGCCAGUCGUAAUAAUUAGAUUAAUUUAACUUGAUGUUUUGUAAUCUUAGAGGCUAAGGGAAUAAUGUUGGAGAUUAUCAAAUUUUUUUAUGUCAGCAAAAUUGAAGUCACACAUUGAUUGUAGUCUACACAAUCAAAGAAAAAAUCAAUCCAAAUAGAUAGAAAAUUGGAAUAAAACCCUAAAACAAUGGCGUAGCCUUCAGUUUUUGUCAAACCGAAUACUAUUUGAUAACAACACAGAUUGACCGAAAACAAAGUUUGAGACAAGCCCAGAAGACGGAGGUCAAAUCGGAGUCCUCACGCACUAGCGCGUGGAUGACGUGCAAAGAUAUUUCGACAGCGUGUGAAGCUCACGCGCGGUGUUUUCCGACGAUCGACGAAGGCAGUCUUGGGCUGAUGGAGGUGGCGCUUCUUAUGGUCUGGACGAUGUUGACAAACGAUCAGUGGAAGGUAACCUGAACUUAAGCCUAAUGGAGAAGGAAGCUAACGACCAUUCGAAAGCCUAACAACUCCAAUACCAUGUAAUCCAGAAUUCAAAGAAGUGUACUUAUUCAUUUGAAUCAAAGAAAAUUUACAUAUUUAUAUAGAGAACAAAAUAAACCCUAGACACUAUGUACAAUUACAAUAAGAGACAUAUGUUAUAACUAUAUAUCAUAACACAAUCCGUGGUGGCCACCUACCAAGGAAAUUUUCUAGAGUUUUCUUGACACCCAAAUGUUGUGUGGUCAGCUGGUUAGGCGAGUUGUAUAAAAAAACAUGUCUUAGAGGUCGGAUGAAUUAGGGGUGGGUUGUCUUAAACAAUGAAAUGCUGCUCUUUUGUUAAAGUGGUUUUGGCCGUUCUCCCUGCAAGAAAAUAGUAUGGGGAGGAGAGUUGUUGUUGCUAUGUAUGCCAUAUAGUCAAAUGGUUGGCUAAUUAAACGUGCUAAAAUUGUUGCCAAUGGAAGGCCUUGGAUAGAUCUUGAGAAAAUAAAAAUAGGUAAUUGUUCCUUGAUCUAGUAAAUUAGAAGUGUGCAGAUGGCACAAAAAUUCGAUUUUGAAAAGAUACAUGGACCUCACAUGCUCCUCUCCAUGUGAAAUACUCUGUUCUAUAUGCCUUUAUCUUCCAAAAUAGAGGCUUCAAUCUCAGACUGUUGGUAAGUUACUGUAAAUACUUGGUAUUUGGGGUCGAGGAGGCACUUUUUUUACUUUGAGAUUCUUAUAGGUGCUUAGUUCAUAGAGCAUAUUAAGGUUGGUAGGCUUGGAAGUAGUUUGGACUGACUUGUGGAAGUUGACCUCUUUGGCACUUUGAAUGCUAAAUCUGUUUUCCUUCAUUUGAUGCAGUCUCAUGCCAAUUCAAUGCCAAUUCAAUGUACUCGUUGACUAUAUAUGGGAGAUAAAGGUUCCCAUGAGUGUUUUACUUGGUCAUUGAUGAAGACAAAUUUAAUAUUAUAUCACUCAACACUCCUCCUCACUUGUGGGCUUGAUAUAUGAAGAAUGCCCAACAAAUUGAAAUCAAUUUUAAAUGGGGAUGAAAUAACGUUGCAAGGGUGUGCACAAGACCUUUGGGCCCUACUGCUCUGAUACCAUCUUAAAUCACUUAUUAACUCUAAAGCUUAAGCUAGUGAGCGUGAAGGAAAAUUUUAUUUUAUAUCAUUCAACACCUUGCAUCCAUGUCCUCUAAGUUCUUUAUUAUUUUCACGACCCUUAUUGACCAAUGGACAUUGUCAUUGUUGGGAGCAUGGAUUUUAAGGGCAAAGUAUGGAUUUUGGAAGCCUAUUGUGUAAUUAGAACUGUCCUUUUUCAGACUUGGAAGGAAAUAAAUCAAGACUUUUGGAUGUCUAAGUUGGUCGUUUACUUUAGGAACAAUGUAUUGUAUACUACAUCUUGAUGGUGUACAAACAACAAAAAGUUUUUUCUACUUACAACCUCAUUAUUUUGAAUGGUUCUGGAUUUGUUGGCUUAGUUGUUGUAUGUCAGGGGCUUUUUCAUCCCCUGAUCCUUUAGGCCGUCCUAUUUCUUUUGUAUAUAAUACAACCUUGUGCUUCUUACAAAAAGAAAAAGAACAAAGAAAAUCGAUACAUACAAGAACUUAAACUUUGUAAUGUUUUAUUGGCAAAUUAGUUAUAGCGAUUCCUAUUUGGAGCCUCAUGCUUUUGGCGGGGAAAUGUUGCAAUGCCAAAACCAAAAAUACAUGGAUCUUGGGUCGGGGAUCAACUCCCUUACCAAAAAUCACUAGUAGAUCUUGCUAUUCUUUCUGAGUUGCCUGAUAAAUCUGUCCCCUGCUAAUGCCUCUAUCUCCUCCUCGACAUGGUGGUAAAAUUUUCCAAGAAGGUGAAGUUCUUUGUGCAGCAAAUUUUGCACAGAUGAGUUAACACUUUGGCUUGGAUCUUGGCCAUAGAGUCCUCCUUGGUUGGGCUCACUGUUGUGUUGUUUACACGCAGGUGGCUUGAGGACCUUGAUCAUAUACUUUGGAGUUGUGUUUUCACUGCUUAUUUUGGUUUUUAUAGCCUUAGCUUCCCGGGUUAUAGGGAGUCAAUUGAAGUUCUGCAUGGGGAACUUCACCCUUUUUCAGUUUAUCAGAUUGCAAGUUUGGUAGAUAAAAUGUGUCUAUGAGUGGAUGUCAUUGGGUCAGGAGUGCUGCUUUUGGAGAUAAAAACCUUGAAGUAUGCUAGCCUUUUUUAAUGUACACCUUACAUUAGUUUAAGGCAUGUUUGUUUCCCAGGAGGCGAGAUGCAAUGUGUCCAUGAGUGAUACAUCUAUUAAAAACAACAAUUGUAGCAUUAUAUUAUUAAUAGGGGGUGAAGUCCACUAUGACAUAAGAUGUAUUGCAUAACUAGGCGUGUAUGUCUCUGGUGACAAUAAAGUAAUUUAACAAAUAACAAUCCUCUUAUGUAAGUUUUAAGUAAAAUAUAUAAAAAAAUAUUACUUAUGCUUAAUUUUGUGUUUCGCAGUAGGCCUUUGAUGAAUUUACAUUACUAUAUUGUACUUUUAUGUUCAUGAGAUGUUGAAGAAAAAAAUUGAAAAUAUUAUGUCAGAAACAAUUUGUAGGCAGAUUUGGCUAAGGUGAGCUUAGCUUAGCUGAUGCAUGACCUUCCAUCACAGAGGUGGGAGAUUUUUCUUGUAUUAAAAGAAAAAAAUUGAGGCAGAUUUGUUUGUUUUUCUGGUUACUUUUUGGCUUUGAAGGGCCUACUCUUUUCCCAAUUAUAUUUCUCUUAAACCAUCAUGAGUUGGCCUAGUGAUAAAAAAAUGAGAUAGUCUCAAGUACUAACUGGGAGGUUAUGAGUUCAAUCUAUGGUGGACACCUAGCUAGGAAUUAUUUUCGAGUCAGACGGGUUGUUUCGAGAGAUUAGUCGAGCUGCACGUAAGUUGGUCUGGACACUCACAGAUAUAAAAAUAGAAUUACAUUUAUCUUGCAACAAUGCAUGCUUAUGACUAUAUGUCCUAAAGAAUCUACUCUACUGAAAAUUUAUCCUAUUGUCGUGGGGCCUAUUCUCUUUUCAAUUAUAUUGUCUAUGAUGCGUGCGUGUUUGGAUGUCUUAUGAUCUGUUUUGAUAGUUUAAUCUUUUGUCUUUAACACUAAAAAAAACUUCCCUUUCUUCUCAUUAUUAACAAUGAAUAAUAAAGAAAGGUCUUCUUUUUGGAUGAAAAAAACAACAUAUCCAUUUAAUAGUAAUGUAACAAAAAAAAUGCGCCCUUUUGUUAGUAGUCCUCAUUUUAGUACUAAAAAUACUUUUUACUAUCCCUAUGAAUCAGAGAAUACUAUGCUAUUUCCGAUGUUUGUGUUAUCCCUAUUUCCUGUUUGACUAGGCAAAAAAAUGUUUUUUACUUAAACUUUUUUUUUUUUGCUAAAAACUUUAAUAUAAACUUGAAAAUGUUUGAAGCCCGAUUUUUUUUUUCAAAUGACUUGUUUUCAAAAUUAAAUAUGUGAUAAGUUAAACCAAACAUUUUAUUAUUU